RNAcentral lists this long non-coding RNA (70448 nucleotides) under Vigna radiata. RNAcentral describes it as "long non-coding RNA (VRAD_LNC011905)". Lineage: Eukaryota; Viridiplantae; Streptophyta; Magnoliopsida; Fabales; Fabaceae. The record is from RNAcentral.
UCAAUUUAUUCAAUGCAACACUCCAUACCGUCUCAGCUUUUCCCUUCAAACUACAAGCAACAGCUGCAAUGGCAACCGGCAAUCCUUUACAUUCAUUGGAAAUUAAUCUUCCCAGACCCUUUAAGGUAUCAGGGGUGCCUUCUGAUAUAAGCGCUUUAUUUUGGAAAAGAGUCCAUGCUUCUUCAUCGGUUAAAAUUGGCAAGUAAAUCUUUGUUUGACAAUCCAUUAAAGUACAAACUGCUUCUGAUCUACUGGUAAUGAGAAUCUUGCAGCCUUUAUGGUGUUGAGAAGAAGGAAUCCCAAUACGACCAAAGUCAAGCUUUUCCCACACAUCAUCUAGAAUUAUAAAAAUAUUUUUCUCUUGAGUUAAUCUUGAGCACAAUCUUUGGGCUCUCUGCAUUUCUUCGGUUUCUCGAAAUUCAAAUUGCAGUGAACUUGCUAUUUUUUCUUGAAUCCUCCGAACUUCCACGGUGCUAGAAACAGGUACAAAAAGAACUUUUUCAAAAAGAUGCUCUGCUUCUACUAAUUUCCUAAGCUCCAUUGCUAAUGUGGUUUUACCACAACCUCCCAUCCCAUACAACCCAAUCAUGGAAACAUCAUUAUGUUUCACUGCAUCCAGUAGUUGCUCGUAUGCAGAUUGUCUACUCUCAAAAUUCAUGCAUUUUUCUGAAAGCAUAUCAAGGGUGUUUGAAGGAAGUGUAGCGAUUCGGUCAAAUGGCACAUAUUUUCUACCCUUUUCAAUGAACUUUUCGAGGUCCAUAGUUUUAUUUGCUAACUUUUUUCCAACAUGGUAUCGCUAAAUCCAAUUUGGGCAGUGUUUAAAGCAACAAUGUUUUUGUGUUCUUGCCUCUUCCAGCAACUGAUUGACAUUGUGUACAUCAUUGAUAGCAUCUUCCAGCCACUUGUCCACAAUUUCACUAGGCUUCCUCGCUUGUUUCUUUUUAUGCGUGACAAAUUUUUGGACACUAUCUUUGGUUAUAAUCAAAUUGUUCUCUUCUUCUUCAAGCUUUUUGACGAAAUUUUUAAAGCAACAAGGAUAACGUAAUUGAUUUAAUGCUCCACACACUAAAUCUCUUGAAACUGAAGAUGCAAAACCCAAGAGACACUCCAUCAAUUUAUUCCAACAUAUACAACUUUCUUAAACCUAAACAAGAAAAGAUAAACGCACUUGUAAGUCUUGCAAUUAUAUUUAGAUGUAUUACCUGACAAAAUGAUUUUAAAAUAAUUUAUUUCAUCUUUCAGUACAUAAAAAGUUAUCCAGAGUAGUAAUUAAAUUUAAUAUUUUCGAUCCUAAAUAGUGAAUUAUCGGAUACACAAUAAAAAAAUCUAAUAACUUUAAUCAUUGCUUUUAAAAAUUUUAGGUUUGAUAAGAGUUUUUAAAUAUAUUUUUCGUCACUUUGAUAAUUUUGUGGAACAUCUUUUUUUCUUAAAAUAAUGUUUUGUAAAUGUUUUACCCUCCACCAAAAAUAAAUAAAUCAUGUUCAAAUAUAGAAGUAUGUAGAUGAGAAGAUUUAUUAAAUAGAAAAAAAAGUGUACCAGUACAAAAUAUAUUUAACCAAACAUUAAACUAAAACAUGCAUUGUAUACAAAAUUAACAUUAUACUUCUUUUUGUAAGUUUAAUUUUUCUAUAUUUAUUUAAAUUUAUAUCAACAUUGUUACAUUAUAUCAAUUUUAGAUAAAAUGAACAAAUAGAAAAAAAUAUAGAAAAAGAACAAAAGUACAUAAUUCCUUAAUAUGUUAAUUGUGAUAGAGGAUAUGGGAAUUAAGUUAUUAUAUGCAUGAUCUGAUUGGUUACUUGAUGAGUAACAAGAGUUCUACACUUUAUAAACAAUUUCAUAUACAAAAUUGUUAAGAUAAGAUUGUCUAUAAGACUGAACUAUCUAAACAUUCUCAUGUGUUUUGAAGUUUAACAAACAACACUAAACGAAAUAAGCAUAUAACAAGUGUUAGAAUAACAACAUAGGUAAAAUAUAAAUGAUUUAUGAAAAUGCUGAAAAACUCAAAUAACUUAGGCAAAGCCUUGGUGAAACACCUAGGUAUGAACAAGAGACACCACUAAACGAUUCUCAAAUUAAUGCGUCAUUGAAAGUCUUGCUGAAUGCAAAUGUUAUACAUAGCUAGACGAUAACCAAACAAACUCUCAAUAUGUCUUAGUAGAUAAAAGUGUUAAAAUAUGUUUUUGGAAAACAUGCUGAAAAAGUCUUAAUUGAUAGUCCAAAAACUUAUGUUAGAAGGCACCAUGCAAAACGCACUUGUUGAAUAGAACGGAGAAAAAUCUAAAGCGUUUACAUAAGCUAAACGAUACCAUGUUCCAAACAAUCUACUUCAUCUAACGGUGAAGUUUCCAUCAACUGCUUGGUAUCUUAGUACAAAGCUUAAAUGAUCAAAUCCUACCUGAAUGGUAGAAUCCGCAAAGUUGUUUUGAAAAAACAUUAAAUGCUCAACGUUUAAAAAUAACAAAACUGACAAGAGAAAAGAUAUAUCUACUGCAUGCAUAUCUACUCUACUUUGUGCAGAUUGUCUAUCACAUGCAUCCAUAUGCUCCAUCCUAUACAAAUAAGAAGUGAAAGUUAGGAAUAAAUAAGACAAUCAUGGAAUGUUCUCUCUAUCAAAACGUACCAAGAAAAUCGUACCACCUACCAAGAAAAUAUGGAAAACAAAGAAUACAACCUCAACAGUUCAUCCCAACCCAAAGAAGAGUCGUCUACAAAAAGCAGUACAACUCAAGACAACUUCAAGGGCAAUAUAUAAUAGAAGUUUGCUAACCGACUUCGAAAAAGAAAUGAAUAACUUUGAAUGCUCAUUAUAAUACUCCGACAGUGAGGUAAAUUUUUUUGACUUAGACUCCGUUACUGAAGCCUGUUAUAGAGUGUUGACAAAGUGUACAAAACUAGCUUAAACCUAUCAAAAAGUAAGGAAACAAAAUAAAAGAAUCUUAAAAGGAGAUGAUGCUUUGAAAAAUGAACUGAAAUCAUCCAAGAUAGAAGCCAAAACAUUAGAAAAAGAUAUCAACAAAUUAGAAAGUGAACUAGCAAUCUCAGAAAGAGAGAAUUAUAGACUAGUGCGGAAGAACAAAAUUUUGGUGGAAAACGCAACAAUUGGAAAAGAUGUUAGAUGCCUUGAGUUUCUUGCACUCAAAAAUAAUAUCUUGCUCAAGACAUCAAACAAAACGUUUUGAGAAAUUAAAGGUUUAAAGCUACUUGUCAAGAGUAGCAAAUGUUUUGCACACCAAGAGAUCCUAAGCAUAAUAACAGUAGUAUAAAUUAUGUCUCCAAAUCAAAAAAAUAUAUCCUCGAAUAUAGAUCUCAUAUACAAGGGAAACCACACAAAUAAAUAUGAAUAACAAAAUAGGACCCAGAACUAGAUAGGCACCAAAGAAUUAAAUUCUUUUGCUUGCAGAAGUGUUAGACGAUCGAGUGGAAACUCCGAUUAUGAAACCUGGCAAGUGGCUUCUAAUAGUACACAAGGGAAGGAAAGUGUAUAUCCCUAAGCUAGAAGAGUCUAUUAGAGAACAGCUUUUACAGAGAGAUGAAUAAGAAAGGUGAACGUAAUCUGAAUAUGCCUCGUACUCAUUUAUCAGAGAGUGUGUAAAUUUAUACAACAGAGUUAUGUAAAACAGAUAGAAAUAACAGACCUAAUAGACUUAACUGUCUUAGAGACAGUUUACAUAACAGCUAAUUGUAAAACCCAUAACACUAAAAUGAGGGCAUUGAAUUAACUUUCCAAUACACCCCCCUAAUUCAAUGUCUUCAAAGAUAGCACUCCAAUACUUGAUCUGAGGAAUUUGAAUCUUUCCAACUUGAGAGAUUUCGUAAAAAUGUCUGCAAGUUGGAGCUCGGUCCGGCAAUGUUUCAAAACAAUCCUCCCUUUAGUUACCAUAUCACACAAGAAAUGAUACUUGAUGUCUAUGUGUUUGCUGCGACCAUGACUAACCGGAUUCUUCGCAAGAUUGAUUGCUGAUGUGUUGUCCAGGUUUAGUUCAACACAGUCCAUAGUCUCUAUUUUUAAAUGCCUAAGAAUUUCCCUCAGCCAUACACUUUGACACACAGGAUGACAACCAGCUACAUAUUCAGAUUCGCAAUUGGACAAUGCUAUGACAUUCUGCUUUUUAGAACUCCAUGAGAUUGGAGCACCAUGGAUGAAGAAUAUGCUUCCAUAUGUGCUUUUCCUGUCAUCUUCAUCACCACCAAAGUCUACAUCUGAAUAGCCCACCAGCUUCACUUCUUCACGUUUCUGACCUUGCUGAAAUAGAAUGCCAAAACUUCAGUUCCUUUUAUGUAUCUCAUCAUUUGUUUUGCAGCAGUCAUGUGGCUUUUCCUAGGAUUACUCAUGAAUCAACUCAACAAUCCAACUCCAAACAUGAUAUCUGGACGGUUGUUGCAUAGGAAUCUCAACGAUCCAACCAGUUGUUUAUACCUGGUUCCAUCUACACCUUCUUCUUCUUCAUUGAUCCGCAGCUUCUUGCCAACCUCAAGUGGGGUUUCGACUUCAUUGCAUUUAUCCAUCAUGAACUUGCUUAGUAUGUCUCUUACAUACUUUCUCUGGUGCAUCAGCAGCCCUGUAGAGGUCUUAGAAAAUUCCAUUCCCAAGAAAUACCUAAGUUCUCCCAUAUCAGUCAUGUCAAACUCAGUCUGCAUCAACUGUUUGAAUUCUUCCAAGCUCGAACCAGUCAGCAACAAAUCAUCAACAUAAAGACAUACAAAUAGGACAUUGUUGUUUUUGUUUGUCUUCACAUACAGGCUGUGCUCCACUGAACAUCUAUCAAAACCUUUGCUGUCAAAGAAUGCAUUGAUCCUCUUAUUCCACGCACGAGGGGCUUGUCUCAAUUCGUAGAGUGCUUUAUCAAGUUUAUAGACUUGAUUCUCUCUUCCUUUCUUGAUGAAACCCGGAGGCUGUUUGAUGUACACCUCUUCCUCGAGAAAUCCAUGCAAAAAAGCAGAUUUCACAUCAAGAGCAAAUAGAUUCCAUUCUCUAAAGCAUGCUAUAGCAACAAUUAUACGAAUGUUUCUAACCUUGCGACAGGUGCGAAUACUUCAGUGAAAUCUAUGCCCUCCUUUUGUAGAAAUCCCUUGGCCAAGAGCCUAGCUUUAUGCUUCAAUACAGAACCAUUUGGGUUUAUUUUCUUCUUGAAGAUCCACUUCACGUUUAUACUCUUCUUGCCCUGUGGUAAAUCCAUCAACUUCCAAGUCUUAUUCUUCUCGAUGGAUCUUAAUUCUUCAGUCAUUGCAGCUUUCCAAACUGGUUGAGGCAGAGCUUCGUUGACAUCCAUUGGUUCACUCCCGGCAAUCAAAGCUAGAUGUAUUAUAUCUCCCUCUUCAUCAACUCCAGCGUUUGAAUAUAUUUCGUAAUCAUUUAGUCUUGAGGGUUGCACCACAGAUCUUCUAGGUCUUGUUUCGUUGUUCAUUGUCCCAGUGGUUCCUGUAUUAUCUACUGCUAGAGUAGAGUUAUCUACUGCCUGAUUAGAUCCAUCUAUCUCGACAUUUUUGUCUUCUUUGUCUGACAGUUGUAUGCUCACAGAAGUUGCUGACUUCUUCAUGCUGGUUUGGUUGAACUUCCAAUUCCAGCUUUCAUCUUCAAGCACGACUACAUCUCGACUAAUAGUUAUUUUCCUUUUGAUUGGGUCGAACAACCUAUAAGCUCCUGUGGACUGAUAUCCCACAAACACCAUGGCUUCUCCCUUGUCGUCAAGUUUUACUCUUCUCUGAUCUGCUACAUGACAAAAGGCCAAUGAUCCAAAAAUUUUAAAAUGUUUCACAGAAGUUUUCUUACCUGUCCACGCUGCAUGCGGCAAUGCGGCACAUGGUUUGGAAGGCUUUUGGUUGGACACCUGUUUAAUACAUGAACAGUUGUCGCCACUGCUUCUCCCCACAACUCACGAACCACACCCUUCUCCUUAAGCAUACACCUGACCAUGUUCAUAAUGGUUCUGUUGCGUCUCUCAGCUAACCCAUUGUGUUCUGGUGUAUAGGCUGUUAUCACUUCAUGGAUUACUCCAUUUUCUUGGCAGAAUGCUUCAAAUUCUCGUGAAGUGUAUUCUCCCCCACCAUCUGUUCUAAUCAGUUUAAUCCUUCUUUCGAUUUCUCCUUCUGCUUGCUUCUUGAAUUGUUUGAAUAUUCCCAGUACCUCAUUCUUCUGUCUCAUGAAAAACACCCAUAUCAUACGGCUGAAUUCAUCAACGAAGGUCACAAAAUAUUUAUUCCCUGCUACUGUUGGAGGUUCAAUUGGCCCACACACGUCUGAGUGCAAUACUUCUAGUCGUUCUUUAGAUCUUGAUUUGAGUUGUUUCCUGAAUGACCUCCUAGCUUGCUUCCCAAUUAUGCAAGUUUCACAUUCUCUACGUGGUUGAGUAAUGCUUGGUAACUCAUACACCAUUUCUUUGCUGUUUAGUUGCUGCAGAUCUUUGAAAUUUAGGUGUCCGAACCUAAAAUGCCAUUUCCAGCUCUCGUCUUCUUUCACAGACGAUAAACACUGUAAUGUCUCAACUACAUCCAGACGAACCUGAAACGUCCGAUUUCCUGAUCUUGCACAUUUCAGAAUCAGAUUUUUACCUUUGUCAUAUACUUCCAUCUGCGCAUCACCUCCCAUGAUGACAGUGUACCCCUUCUCUAUCAGUUGUCCUACACUCAGGAGGUUGCACUUCAUCUCUGGUACGAGAAGAACAUUUUCAAGUGUUGCAUGCAGCCCGUUCUUUCUUUUGAUUAUAAUCGUUCCAAUCCUUUCUACUCUCAACGUGUUGUUGUUGGCAACUCUGACUUUACUCUUCUUGGAUUCAUCUAGAUUCACCAACCAGCUUCUGUUGUACGUCAUAUGAUUAGAACAACAAGAGUCCACAUACCAGAUGUUUUGUGCUAUCCCGGUGUCCUCUAUGUUGGUGGCAACCAUGAGUAUUAAAGGUUCUGACUCAAAUUCUUCUUCUUCAACCACAUGAGCUUCUUUGUUUUGAACCCCCUUGUUCUGGGCAUUCUUGUUAAACCAGCACUCGUAAGAUAGAUGUCCUUUCUUACGGCAGAUAAAACAUUCCAUAUUCUUUUUCUCUUCUUUUGAAUAUUGCUUCCUCGGGGUAUUCUUUCUAUCUGUAGCAUUGCUUUUCGCUUCUUGAUCAUCUGUGUCUUUCUUCCAUUUCUUCGUAUCUUUGCCCAUCCCUUUCCACUUGUUUGAUUUCUUCUUUUCAUCACCAGAAAUAUGUUGAAUCUUCAAGGCUUGGUCAUCGUGUUUCUUCCUGCCAUUUCUUCGCAUUUCAUGAGCUUCAAACGUACUUUGCAAUUCUUCAAUCCUAAGUUUCUCCAAAUCUCUGGUUUCUUUAAUGGUUAUGACAAGAUGGUCGAAUGCAGCAGGCAAUGAUCUCAGAAUCUUUUCCAUUAUCAUUGCAUCUGCAAGUUUCUCCCCGCAGGCUCUCAUCUGGUUUGCUAUUGAUAUCACGCAACUGAAAAACUCGUUCACUUUAUCACUAUCUUCCAUCUCCAUGUGUUCGUAUUGUCUCUUUAGGGCUUGCAGUCUAACCUUCUUGACCUUUUCUCCUCCAGAAUGGCGACGGACAAGGAUGUUCCAUGCCUCCCUCGCGGUCACAACAUGCUGGAUCUUUUCGAAGUUUGCAUCGUCCACCCAUUGUUGUAUUAUCAACAAAGCUCUGUCGUCUUUUUCCUUCCAGUCUUUCUUCUGCUCUUCUUUUCCAGAGGCAUCAACCAUUGGAUCUCCUUCGACUACAUUGCUGACCUUCUGAACGCGGAAAACCACCCGCAUCUGGGUAUGCCAACGGCUCCAGUUAUUAUCUGUGAGUAUUGGAUAGUGCAGCGUUGAUAAUUCCGCCAUUAUCACAAGCUUCUUCAAGGCUCAAGAACGUCUGAAAUUGUACUUUCUUGGUUAGACAAGACAACCCUCCGUUCCCCGGUUUUCGAAACCUAUGCUCUAUGAUACCAUUAUUAGAGAACAACUUUUACAGAGAGAUGAAUAAGAAAGGUGAACGUAAUCUAAAUAUGCCUCGUACUCAUUUAUCAGAGAGUGUGUAAAUUUAUACAACAGAGUUACGUAAAACAGAUAGAAAUAACAGACCUAACAGACUUAACUGUCUUAGAGACAGUUUGCAUAACAACUAAUUAUAAAACCCAUAAGACUAAAAUGAGGGCAUUGAAUUAACUUUCCAAUAGAGUCAAGAGAAGGAAGGAAUCACCGGAAGAAGGAAAAUGCAGAACAGGAUCACAAACUCAGGAGAGAAAGGUGCGCUCGCUGUCCCUCAUUCUAAAACAAAUUUCUGCAACAUAAUCUUCAUGGCAUUAAUUAAAUUAACAAUAGUUACAUAUUACUUGGUUGCUUACAUUCAAUACAUAAGACCAUACAUCUCAAAGUACUUUAUGAAAAGUUAAAAUUAGUCGUACUAAACAAUGUGUCUAGACAUCCUUUGAAGUCUAAGAGAUACUAAACGUGUAAACCCAACCCAAUGCUUAAAUCACAAUGCACACCGAAUCUAGAAACAAACGUCAAGAGUCUUCAUCCAACGAUGCCACAUCCCACAUCAUUUAAGACAAAUCGUCUACAAACACACACCAUCCAAAAUAAAACCCUAUGGAAACUCACCUUUCCACGCCAUACUAUGUCGUACAGGACUUAUUAAAUGAGCAAUGACGAUUUAUUUUAAAAUCCCUAAAAAAUAUCAUCUCUCACAGGGCAACCGCCAAAUAAACACUCUUCGUGUACCUUAAGUUACCAAACCCUAUUCUCAAAACCUCUUGCAAAAACCUAAAGUCAACGAAAAACCACCCAACAAUCAUGGCCGCUCACGUUGAGGAAAUCAUCACCACUAAUGAAGUAUUUGCUAAUGCCAAAAAGGCAUUCGUCAUAAACCCAACCAUGGACAAAGCAAUUGAAAUCUACUUAGAACACUGGGUAGACCUCAAAGCCCUAAGAGUCGUGGAUAUGAAGAGAAAGUUUUUGAGCUGUAUUGUGAUGUGUCAUAUCAAAGACUGUGAUGUGUACUAAUGCAAGGAAAGAAACCAGUGGCGUAUGCAUCUUGUUAGUUGAAGGUGCAUGAGAAGAACUAUCCAAAACAUGACAUGGAGUUAGCUGCAGUAGUGUUUGUUUUAAAGACAUAGAGACAUUAUCUAUGUGGGGCGCGUUUUCAAGUCUUUAGUGAUCACAUGAGUCUGAAAUACUUGUUCGAUCAGAAGGAGUUGAAUAUGCGUAAGAGGAGAUGGAUGUAGUAUUUGAAAUACUACGAUUUUGAAUUGCAGUACCAUCCAGGUAAGGCAAAUGUUGUUGUUGAUGCUUUAGGCAGGAAGAAAGUACAAAUGACAGCCUUGAUGGUAAAAGAGUUAGAGUUGAUCGAGAAGUUACAAGAUAUGAACUUGGGAGUACAGGUGAAAGAAGGUCAUAUCUAGUGUAAUUAUUUGGCUAUCAGGAGUGACUUCUAUUACCAAUAUGAAGCAUUAUUACUUUGAAAUCAUUUUGAUGAUGAGGCACUUACAGACUUAAAGACUUAAAUAAACUAUAUUGUAAAUGUUAAAAACACUUUCUGUAGAAAUAAUUUGUAUAAGAAUUAUUUUAUAAUUGUAAGCACUUAGAAGUUUCAUAACUUAGUGAUUUAUUACAACAAUAAUCGAUUAUCAUAGGGGAUAAUCGAUUAUCACAAGUAAAGGUGGAAAAUGAUUCGUCUUGGCAAUAAUCGAUUAUCAUAGGGGAUAAUCAUUUAUCACCGCAAGUUUUGAUAUUUUCAGGAUUCAGAAAUAAUCGUUUAUCACUAUAGAUAAUCGAUUAUCACAUUUUCCAAAACUCCUAACGGCUUGAUAUAAUCGAUUAUCACUUGUGACAAUUGAUUAUCACUAGUAAUUGGGAGUUGCUUUUUCAUUUUUUGACCCCUGGCCUAUAUGGAAAAAAGGUACACAUACCCUUCCUUUAAUAUAUGUGAGAAUCACAUAAUUUCAAAAUUCUAUUUUGGCUUUCUAUAUCAUGCAGUUAUUUGAAAAUAUUUAAGUUUGGCCACGUGCUUUUAACAUUACCAAAGUCACACAUAGUUUAUUCUAGCAAGAUUAGUUACACGGAUUGUGUCAUUAGUUAUCUAGUCCUCCUCUAUUUCCAUGUUUGUUGUCUUCGGUGUAAGGAGGUAUAUUGGAAAUCUCAAGUCGGCUAAAUAAAUGACCAAGUUAUAAUGUACAAGUAGGUAUAAAGCUCACUUUCUGAGUUACAUUUUUGGAAUAUGUGAAUGCUCUUUGUCCUUAAUGUGAAGUAUGUUGAAAAUUUCACAUUAACUAAAGAUUUGCACAAAUUGUAAUGCAUAAGUGAAUACAAACCACACUUUACUAAAUUGAUUUUAUAAAAUUAAAUUAAAGUUGUUAAAAAUAUAUCUUAACAAAAUUAGCUAGGUAUAUCAAACCUAACUCUUUACCCUUCUCGGUGUCCUCAAUUUAAGAGAAUGUAUUAAAAAUUUCACAUUAAUAAAAAAUUCAUAUAUAUAUAUAUAUAUAUAUAUAUAUAUAUAAUUAAUAAAUUAGUUUAACUUAUUAUGAUUAUAAAUUAAUUUCAAAUACUCAUUUAAUUUCAAAUAAUUCAUUGUGUACAAAAAUUAACUAGAUUUAAAUAAACUUUUGAGCUAGUUACACUUUUACUCUCUCUUAGAAAAAGGACAUUAACUCCGUUUAAAGUAAACUGAUACGAAACUGCUUUUAAAAUUUUACACAAAUUUUCCAUUUGUAUAUUAAAUAUCAGUUUUCUUUCACAUUACACGUGUUCCUUCAUAAAGUUAGUGAAUGUAAGCAUAAUUUGAGAAAGGAUAUUGUAUUUGACUCAUCCAUACUAUUAUUCAGAUGAUGUUAAUUGCAUAUGAUUUUAAAAAAAAGCUGCCGAUGUUAAAAAUGUUGAUGUUGUACAUAUAUGAUGCAUAAUUGAUAAUGGGAUGUGAAAUAAUUAAAGAUGAUGUUUGUAAUUUGGAAGUGGAAAAUGAUAAAAGAUUACUUUACCUGAUUUAACUAAUAAGCAUAGAGAGAAUGGAGAAUUGGCGAGAAAGAAACAAGUGGUCAUCCAUUAUUUCAAAGAGACUCUGAAACGUUAAGUUACUGCAAAUACAAAACAUAAACACAAACACAUUAUCUAUAACUUCCAUUGAAAAGGAAACGAUUAAAAUUUCAAAUAAGAGCAGAAUAGAAGUUAACUUUUGACUGAUCUAUACCUUCAUAGAGAUGAAUGUACUCCGUUGGUUGAAUCUGAGUAGAGAAUAUGUCAUAGAAUGCAAGAGAUAAGAAUGAAAGCACAGCCUCUUUCUAACACUCAAAAUUUGUUUUCUUCCUAUUCUCCUAUUAUUAGUAUUAAUUCUGCCUGAUCGAGGGAGACUAUAGCUCCCACUUGCAUGUCUUUGAAAAGUCUUCAUGGUUUAUUUAUUAUUGUUGUGUGGUGGGUGCUAUUAGAAUUCAGAAUUAUUAUUAUUAUUAUUAAUUCUGCAUGAUUUAUUAUGUCUUUGAAAAGUCUUGGUCGUUUAUUUAUUAUUUUUUAGUGGUGACUGCUAUUAUCUACCUACCUAUUCAACUCUUGUAAACUUAAUCUCUCUUGCAAAAUUUGUGUUUCGAGAAAUUAAUUUGCAUCUAAAAAAGCGUCUUGAAAUUUUAUUAAGUAUUUAAUAGACCAUAAAAAUAUAUUAGAGACUAAAUUGGAAUUUUUAUGAAUGGCUUUUAUAGAUUUAAAUUUAAAUAAAUUGCAUUAAAGUAUAAGUUUUAGAACUUAAUAUUUUUAUGAAUGGCUUUUAUAGAUUUAAAUUUAAAACAUUUAAAUAUAUAAAAUGUUCUAUCAUAUUUAUUUAAUCUUUAUUAUAUGAAAAUAAAUUUUUAAGAAAGUCUUUGAUGAUUAAUAUUUUUCUCUCUAAUAACUUUAUUUUUAUAAUUUGAUUUUUAGAAAGAAAAACUCAAAUAAAAUUCAAUAACAAUUAUUAGUGGAUAACGAAUAUUUACAAGUUGGAUAACAUGAUAUACAUACAUGUCUCAUCAAUGAUUAAAAUAUUAGUUUAACUUGUGGUUGAUUGAAUCAAAAUAUUCAAUGUUAUUUUUGAGUUUGAUGUGAAUAAAAGUAUAUAAUGAAUUUGACGAACCAAGUUUAAUUGAAAUUAAUAAAAAAUAAUUUGAACAAAUUAUAGUUUGAAACAAUUAUUUGAAUUGGUUAAAAGUUAUAUUAUUAAAAUGCUUUUCUAAACAUUUUUGUAAAUUAAUUGUUCUUGUUGUCGAGUUUGAUAUUUCCAUUUCAUAUAUUUUUACUUAAAUGAAGAAUUUUGGCUUGGGCAAAUAUAGAACAUAUGCAAACCUUUCUCUCUAUCCUAUUUUCACUCUAUUCUAUUUACACUCUAGUCUCAAAAUCAACUGUGUUCUCAAUUCUAUUUGUUCAAGUGAAAAUAACUAUGUAAUUUAAUGUUACUUUUGCUUAAAUUUUUCACUCGAGAAAAUCUUCAUUCAAGCUAACCUGUUGAAGCUAAAGCUAAAAAAUAUUGAAAUAAUUUUGUGUUAUUUAUUGUUCUCUUGUCUAUUUAAUGAAUUGUUGAGUAUAAUUAUAAAUGUAAAAUAGUAGUUCGUAUAAUUAAUUAUUUGUAAGUUUGUUUAAGUGAAUAAUGUUGUAUGUUAUUUAAAAUUAAUUGAAUUAAAUGAAUUUUGGAGUCAAACAUAUAGAUGAUGUGUGAACAAUUAUUUAAAUUAUAUAUUAAGUAUUGAGACGUAUGAUAUGACGCAAAAUAGAUCUAGAUGAUCAAAAUCACAUAAAGUGAUAUAUAAGAUAUUGAGAAGCUAAGAGGAAAGUUCUUGACAUUAUUAUAUGUGUAAAUGUACAUACUUGCAUUAUAAUAAACAUAAAACCUAAAGAUUUUUUGGUUCGCUUGUAAAUGCAAGCUUUAGAUUGGAUUAAAUAUUAAUAUCUAAUAUAUAGGACAUAUUUGAUAUUUUUCUUUGUGAAAUAUCUUUAAUGUAUAAAUUUAUAUAUGGUCUAUGUACAUGUGUGCGUUAUUUACGUUUCAAAUUAUAAUCACAAACACCACACGAUAAACAACAAAUUAGCGUUUAGCAUAAAUUUUUUUAGCAUAAAUUUGGCUACCACAAUUUACUUUAUUCACUAAAUAACACAAAACCAAUACGAUUUGGUUAUGUGGUUAUAUAUAAUCUUGUAAAGUCUGAGUAUUUCGCUUUUUAAAGUUAAAAAAAGAGGUUUAAUUAAGUUUUGAAUUUAUGAUAAAUUUAAUAACUCAAAUAAAUUUUUAUGCAAAUAUGAAAUUAAAAAAAUCUUAAAAAAUUUUGAUAAAAAAAAUAACAUUAAGAUUGACUACAAAAUAUUAUCAAUAUUUAUAGUAUUUUUAAUUCUAUUGUUUGAAUAUAUUUUAAAUUUGAUGAUAAUCAAAAUACUUUAUUUUUAAAAAAAUCAUUAAAUUUGAAUCUAUCCAACAAAACAUUGAAAAAAAAUAAAAUAAUUUAAAAUAAAAUCAAUUCAAAUUUAACAUAUUAAUUUAAAUAUUUAAAAUUUAUGAAAUUUUUAUCCAAACACAAGAUUUUUUUUUUCAGAUUAAACUAUGUCCGAAGUGUUUCUAAAAUCCUAUACAAAUCGUCUAUUUGUCUUGAAAACAUUACAUUAUUUAUCCAUUCUUUUUAUGAAACAUCAUUAAAAUAACGAAUGAAAGAAUAAUUUGAGAAAAUAUCAAGGGAGUGUCAUUACUCAUCUAUUUAUUAUUUAAACAAAUCGAAAAAAGAAAGUUUAAAAAUUGACACGGUUGACCCAACACAAAAAUAAAUUUCACUUAAAAAUAUCUGCUGCAAAUGAACAACAAAAGGCAAAACUCACUCAGUAUCCAAAACUUUAAAGAAACUUUUUGUAAGUGUAUCAGAAGAGUAAAUAAAAUGACACCUGAAAUAAAUGAUAAAUGUAAUAAACUACAUACACUCAUCAGGUAUUAUACAUCAUAAUUUAUCAUCAUAUUGAAGCCUUCAAAUGCACUCAACGUUUUAUAAUACAUUCUGUUUUACUAUUAUUAAAAUAUCACGUUAUUGUUUUAUUAGUUUGGCCGUUCGUUGUAAUAGGAUUUAAUUUAUUAUUUAACCUUUUUUAUCCAGAUAAAUAUAAUAUACAUUAUUUAUUUAUUUACAAAUCUCAUCCCUCUCGAAUUUAUGAUCAAUAGUAAAGAAUUCAAAUAUCUAUUAAUUUAAUUAAGGUACAUUGUCAAAGUUUUAUGGAAAGAAUAACGUGCCAAAAACUUUAUAUAUCAAAUAAGCUUGAAAUUUUUUUCACACUCUUUGAGAAGGUAGACAUGAUGUAGAUUGAUUAAAGUUUCAUCUAUUUUGAUUCAAUAAAUAUAAAUAUUUUCCAAAUCAAUUGGUAAAUUUUAUUUUUCUUAUUUUCAAUAAUUAUUUUUAAAAUAUUAUGAAAUAAGUGAAUUUUUUUUAAUAAUUUAUGGCGUUACACUUGUUAUAAAUCUUAUUUUUCUUUUAUUAUUGUUUCGAGUUUGUUUAUUCUUGGUCGAACUCUUGAUUUUGCACGUUCUAAAGUUUUUUCUUCCUACACCUACAUUUAUUCUUCUUGCACCCUAUAGAAUUUGGUGAAAUGUAAGUUUUGUCCUCUCAUUCUUCCUCUAUACCCAAUUUUCUGUGUCCAGUCCCUAUACCCAGCGGCGGCGAGUUAGGUGCCGAGGUCACUAUUGAAGAUGGCGGCGUUGGUUGUGAUGUGGGAGGAAAUAGAAGUGGAAACGAAAACCACUCUUGCGACUGCUGAAAUAAAGUAUUACAAAAGGACAAUGAUACAAUUGGAAGUCCCUAUAGAGAAGACAUAAGACACUCAUUGAAGAAAGGAAAAAAAAUGGUUUCUGUAAUUUUGAAGAAAAAAUGAGAUGCAUUUGAUCACUGAGUUACAUAAGAGAACAAAUAGUUUUUUUCAUUUAUCAUAACACUUGUUUUGUCUGUUUUACGAAGAACAAGCUCUUACACAACAAAUAAGAUAGCAAACACACAACAAAAUAGAACAAUCGAAAUUUAGAAACUAAAUUGAAACUGUAUGAUGAGUGGUACUGGUUGAUGGGUUGGGUGCACAUUAAGUUCAUUUAGGACCAAGCUACCUUAUUGAAGCAUAAACUACUAGAAAAAACAGAAGACAUUAACCUUAAUAAUAAUGAACAACGAAAAUCCUCACGAAGGAUUUGUAGCAGCUAUACGAUUGAGCUCAUAUUGACUACACAGAACUGACCAUUUAUGAGCCACCUCCAACAUUUCAGAUUCGUCUUUCCUUGCAUUUUCAAGCUUCGUUUUGUAUUCUACAGUUUCCGCAAUGCAUUUAUUUUUUUCGUCCUCCAGGGAUGAUAAGGAAACCUCACAAACUCUUAUUUCUUCCUUCAACCUAAUGAUUUGUUCCUUCAAAACUACUUCCUUCCGUUGAAGUUCAUCAUAGAAAUUCUUUUUAAUAGUCACCUCAUUCGCACGAGCUUCAAGUUCUGCCAAUUUGUCAAUGGUGGCAAAGCCUUGCUUAAAGGAGCAUAUAAUGCUUGGGAAGUGUCGGUGCAUAGUGUCUAUAAUAUGUUUGAGUCCAUCUGAUACUUUGACAUCUUUGAAAGGAAGGUUGGAUAGGAAAUUAAGAGCAGACAAAAGGCAAAGGCUGUUAGUCUCAGAACUAACUAUAUCCUUCAGAGACAUCUUCAGAUACUUUUCUAACUCAACAAGGGUCUUUCCAACUAGGUUAUCUUCACCCUCUUUCCCCACAACAACUGGUGCAAAUAAACUAAUGAUAUCAUUGGCCCCAAAGUCUUCAAUGAUUCUAGGAAGGCCUUCACUUUCUUUAGCAAUGCGUGCCUCAAUUUGGCUGCUCUUAAUUUUACUCUGGGAGAAAUAAGAAGAAAAUAUAACAGAAAAGACGUUAGCAUCAAGUCAUUCUAAUUGCAAAGCAUUGAGUUUCUUAACACAAUUUUGGAUGAUUCAUAUAAGUGCAAGUAGAAGUUAAAAUGUGAUCUUUUUCUUUUUGAGGUCCAACUGAGAGCUGGUGGAUUCGGAAAGAAUUGAUGAAGCUGCCAUAUUGGUAUUCUUUACUAUGGUUUCCUCUACACCAACUUGCUCAAUACUCUGUGCAAGAACAAAUGAUAUGUAGCUUUGGUGUAAUAAGUUGCAGACUUAAUUUCUUUCUAUGACUUAUACUAGCAGGGUUAAGUGCACAUACAUAUUAAUUUAGAAUAAUUUAUGGUAUUUUUGUUUGCCAUUUACCUUAGGAAUUUCAGCAAGUGGUUUUUUCUGCUCCAUCAAACACGGUUCACUAGUCUGUUGUGUGUCCACCAAUGGCUAAACAAAGUAAUAAAAAGAUUUAAAAUCACAAUAGUCUCAUCCAAUACUCAUAAAAAGAUUUAUUAGACUCACAUUUGAGGGUGUUGGCUUUUCAACGGUUUGCGAGUUUGUUAAUGAUGUUGCUAUUCUUGGUAUUUCUGAAGUGAAAACUUCUGCAACAAAUUCCUGCUCUGCUUCUUCAUUUCUCAGAGCCAAAAUGUGGUCAUUAGAAACAAAACCUAUUUCACAUUCUUUAUGAACCAAGUCAGAACCUUCUUCCAAGCUAAUCUUAGGCCCAUCACCUUCUUCAACAACGUCCCCACUACUACACCUGUUUAACAAACUUAAAUUGCUUGCCAGAGAACAAAAAACUCAGAAACUGAUGCUAUCAAUCUUGUAAGAAUUUCAUAUGCCACCAAAUGUAUACUCAUCUAAUAAAAUAGUUAUACCUAUUAGAAUUCUCAUCUAUUUCUCUCCGUGCAAUGUCCGCUCCUAGCUUAGGAUCCCUCGCCACAGCACGUUGACGCAUUUCCUCUACCCAUGAACUCUCAAACCCAAUUUCAAUAGCUUCUUCACAUAGUUUAUGGAACUCUUUUUCUCUUUGAGGAAUAACACUAUCGUCACUUUCCUUCUGAAGGAACAACAACAUAUCUGCCAAAAUUUUCAACCUCCAAGCUUGAAAGCGCUGACUAAACUUCUUGGAAGCAUUCCAGAGAUGAGGAUAUGUUGUUAUUGCCUCCACCAAAAGAGAAAUUUGUGCAUCAUCCAGAUCAACAAAAUGUUUAUAUGUUCCUAAUCUUGUACGGAUAUCUGCAGAAGCUGUAAAAAGUUUGAGAGAGUGAUAUGAAAAUAUAGGAUAGAAAUGAGAAAAUAAGAAAUCAGAAACCUGAAGAAAUGUCAAUGUUGUUAUUAGGAAAAACAUAUAUUCCCUCUUGUUUAUGCAAAAGGUUCAACCCUUCUUCUACUUGGAUUCCUUGGCUUGCCACUAUUCCUGGCUUUCCUUCAUUCAUCUUAUCAUCUUGUUCAACUACCUUGGAAUCAAUGUGAGUUGCAACAGCAUCUCCAAUGCCAAUGUUUUCAACUCCAGUGGAUGAAGAUUUAAUGCUCUCAUUUUCUACGUCAUCAAUCUCCUGUGUAUUAUAAAUUGAAAAAAUACGAUUGAGUGAGUAGUUCUAAAGUUUGAAAAUAGCCUUAUUACUAUUGCUACUUCAAGUGCAUAUUGGUAUGGAAAAUCUCCUUUACGGUUUCCUUUUAGGUGUUAGUUUUAGUAUUACAAAAUCCAUCAGUGAUAAGGUAGAACUUUUUCAAUAAAUGUUGUCAGUUUCAUAUUUACAAUGCAAAAGGUAAGUUUGGUAAGAUAACUUUCAUUGUGACUAUACUUCCUUCUUCUCCAUAUUUAGGUUCUGACCUGUGAUGAAGUGAACUCACUGCUAUCAUUAAUAGUUGAACAGUCGUCUAUGGAUCUUAUUAUGUCUUGAAAUUCCCAACUACGAACUUCAGUGUUUAUGAAAUCUGUAGAAAUAUAUAUAUAUAUAUAUAUAUAUAUAUAUAUAUAUAUAUAUAUGAGGAAAUUAAGGUGAAAAUGAAAUUCAUAACAAAAAGGAAUACAACCUCAAUUUUCCAUGAUGGAUAAUUAUAUCUUUACAAUUAAAAACAAAACAAAAAAAAAGAUAUAAAUGGUUGGGAAUAUUUUUACCACACAUCAAAAUAAAGUGGCGACUUAUUAAAAGACUCGCAGCAAAAAUUAAGUUAAUAAUAUAAUUUAAAAAAAAAAUCUGGUGGUACUCGGUUGGGAAUUGGAAACCAUGCCAAUAUAUACGUAUGCAAGACUUAUUUCAAAACAUUUAGUUAAUAUAACAAUUAUUUGAUAUUUCUUGACAUCAUAAAAAAAUUAAAAAUAAUAAAUUUUAAUAGUACACUAGGAUAGAUUAAAUUACAUAGAUAACUAAAUUGUAAAGUGCAAACAAAAUGUGAAAAUAACUAAAAUUCUUAAAAUAAUUUGAGUAUAAUAAAAUAUUUCCAUUGUUGAAUAAAAGUGAGAUAAAAUUACAUUUAAUUUGAAACUCAUAAACUUCCUUUUUGAGAGUGUAUGAGUUAAGACCAACAUUUAUGUAGAAAAGAAUUAGAUAGCAGAGUUACCUCAUUUCUAUACUCUAAUAGUUUAAGAUUAAUUUAAGAGUUUGAACAUUUGAAGACUUUAUAUAGUAUUCACCUUUGUGAGGAAAAUCUUCAAGGAGCUUCUGAAGAGUAGUUGUUGAAGUGAAAGAGAGUUUUGGACAUUUGUAGACAACGCGAUUCUUUAAAUUAUGCAAUUCGAUCUCUUGACUGAAGUUUGAAAGAUGCAUAAAUAUUAAAAGUUUGAGUCUCGGAAACUCAACUUUAAUCUUUCCUUGUUUACAUCCAACAAGCUCUUCUAGUUCAUUGGCUCCAUUUAUGGCCAGAAGAUGAAGAUUGGGAAGCUCAUUAGAAGCAGAUCCAGAGAAUAAUCUUUUCAACUUGUGACAAUCAUCAACAUGCAAUGCUUCUAGUUUUGGGAAGCAUGGUUGAGGAGAAUGAAUAUUCGACAAAUUUUUAUCCCAUUCAAUGAUUUGUCUUAAUUCUUUGCAUUUACUUAUCUUCAAAAGCUUCAAAUUUGGUAAGCAUCUUAAAACAGACUUUGGAAAGACUACUUCCAAUUUCGCACAUUCAAUUAUUUCUAGUUCUUCAAGAUUUGGGAACGCAAAAUAAUUCUUUGAAGCUUCUUUAUCACAUCCAAUAAUCUCCUCUACUUCAGAGCCCCUAUUUAUGGAAAGAAGAUUGGACCCAUCUUCUUCAAUGAUCUGCUUCAAUUCCAUGCAUUGUGAUAUGGUUAGCCACUUCAACUCUGGUAAGCAUCUUACAACAGAUUUUGGAAAGAUUACUUCCAACUUUCCACAAUGCCUUAUUUCUAAUGUGGUAAGAUGUUGGAGAGUAAGUGAAUUGUUGGGACCCACCCAAAUAUAAGUCAUUUGAGGUAGAAAUUUUAACACCAAGUACUCUAACCUUAAACUCACUUGUUGGCCAAUCAUUUCAUGUUCAUUAAGACAAAAAAUACCUUCUGCAUCAGAGUGCUUUAUGUUUAGAGUUUCCAAAGUGAGGAGAUGGUUCUGAAUCCCUUUCCGAUCCUGUAGGACAUUAAGAGGAAAUGGAUAGAAACAUCUGUAACACUUAAACUCCUUCAAAGACGGGCACGUCAUAGUGAGAGUGUUGGUAGAACAAAGGCUAACAAACUUUGGUAGAUUACGAAGAGAGAGUAUUUCCAAUGCUGAGAAUUGAAUAUGAAUCUCCUUAUAAUCCUUAUUAGCUACGUCAUAUUGCCCAAACAUAUAUUUCAAUUCGGAACAGCCAUACACUGAGAGUUCUUUUAAGUUAGGAAAGAUAGCUUUCAUGUUCUCUUUGCCAUAUUCAUCAUCAGUGUCUAUUUCAUUCAAUUCUCCAACAAAAGAAACAGGGAAUAUACUCUCCAAUAAGUCACAAUCACUGAUACGUAGCUUUUUCAAACUUUGGAAGAUUGAAAUAUCAGUCUGACAAUCAUGCUCAUCCUCAAUAAUGCUUUCCUCCUGAUUUCUAUUGACCCUUUCGUGAGUUACUACAUCUUUCAAACUCUCGCAGCCUUCUAUGAAUAAUUCUUCCAAAGAAGUCAAGGUCUUAGCUAUAAAUGCUGUAAAAAUUGAGCCUAACUUUCCACACCAUGUUAUCUUAAGACUUGUAAGGCUGGAUAGAGUUCCUGAAAAGCAAUUAUAAAUUAAAAAACUAUUGGUUUCUAGGAACUAAAGCCACAAUCUAGAGAGUCGAGUUAUCGGUUAAUAAUGAUGAAAAUAAUCGUAAAGAAAGUUUCCUUUAAAUAAUUUUAAACUUAAGAAACAAUUUCACAUGCAAAUAUAAUUGUCUUUAAUUUUAAAUGAGACCGUGUAUUAACAAGUUUAAGUAAAAGUAGAUUAGUAUUGUCUCGAGUUUCAAUCUUACUAAUGGAAAAUAACAUCAUGACGAAACAAUAUAUGAUUAUUAUGCUUAAAUUUUUCAUAUAUAGUAACAGAUUUACAAUGUUUGUGUAACUUGUAAAUAAGUUGGAACCUACAUGUGUCAUCAUUUAAGCAAUACUAUGUAAACUUACUAAUACACGCUAUGUUAUAUAAAUGUGGAUGCUUACCUUCCUCAACGAUUUCAUCAAGUUCUUCUUUUCUAUCCUGCUCUGUUAAUGGAACAAUAUCUCCAAUUAUUUGUUCUAGCUUGUCACAUUCGCUUAUAUCGAGAUCUUUCAAUUGAGUUAAGCCUCCUACAAUGUUGGUUGAGAAUAUAUAUUUUAGUUCUGGACAGCUAUAUACCUCUACUUCCUGAAGAUUUUGGAAGAUUUGUACAGGAUGUCCAUUGGUGAAUUCAUCUUCACUUUUCUCUGCUUUCUCAUCAUCUUCUAAUAUAUGCUUCAGUUCAUCACAUCUUGAUAUUUUUAAUAUUUUCAAUUUUACCAAUCUUCGAGCAACAACAUAUCUGAAGAGAAAUGUCAGUCGUGGACAAUCACUUAAAUACAGCUCCUCUAAGUUCUCAAAAGACCCAUUGGCAGGAAGAAAACAAUUCCAUAUAACUCUUAGAUUUCUCAUGUUCACGAUUCCCAGCUUAUGCAACUUGGAGAAGAGAAUUACCACCUCACUCGAGCGACUACCAGUGUCAAUCAAACAUUCUAACUCUUCAGAAUCACGUAUCUCCAACGUAUUCAACUCAUUCAAAUCUCCUCCUUCAAUUUGAAAUAUAUCAGGGAUCAUAUUUUUUGCACCUCCAUGAAUAUUUCCUACAAAUAAAUCCUUUGCUUUUUUUGCCAAAUCCUUUAUUACCUUAUUUGAUAUGUCAAAAUGGUUAAGUAAUAAAGUUCUGCCAUGAAUGUAAAUAUCUCCAUAAUAAAAAUGGCCAAAUUUAUGCGACCCUAACACAAUUGCAUACCUUUGCAGUGUUUCGGGAACGCUAAACGUCUUAAAGAAUUCAAUAUUGUCUUCACUGUUAGCAUCCCGCCAUUUUCCUUCAAUAUCAAUAAUGUACAACUCUUCCAAAAGUGGGAUUCUCUUCAUCACUUCAAAAUUCUUCACUUUAAUGUCACAAUUCUUCAACCCCAACAAUUUUAGUGUAAUUGCAACAUCAGUUUGUAAUUCAGGGAAUGAAGGUAGUAAACAACGAGUUAACGAGAGACUUUGAAGAUUUUUCAUAUCGCUUAAAAAUGAGAAGUCGCUCAAUUCACAAUUGAAAAUUAUUAGAUCUCGAAGAUUUGUUAAUGUUUUCAAAGAUAUUGUUGACAAUCGUCUUUCUUCAAAGUCAUUGUUGACAAGAAUAAAAACUUUGAGCCUUCCCAUUCUUUUGAAAAUCCCAUCAAAUUCUUUCAUCUUUGUCUGUAAGAAUAGAAACUCAAGAUUGGAGCAAUCCAAAUCAUUUGGAAUUUCGCACACCAUAGAUAUCUUACAGAAUUUUGUUCCACUGUAACAUCUUUUUCCACUUCACACUUUAUCAUCUUAUUCUCAUUUUGUGCUAUGAUGUGGGCCACAUCUCGAACUAAGUCAUGCAUUUUGACAUAUUCAUCAUCUGCAUCCAACAAACAACAACUAACAAGCUUAAAUUUAGCGGCAAUCACUUCACACCUUGCCUCUUCAUAUGAGUGAGCUUCUCCAACUACACCUAAGCCUAUUGCACAUCUUGUUAAAAGUUCAACUUGAAUUUCAUAAUCUUCAGGAAACACAGAGCACAACAGCAAAAGUGAUUUAGCUUCUUCAGUAUCUAAAUUAUCAUAGCUCAGCUGUAGACACUUGUAGGGAUCAAUCAAACCUCUUUCAAUAUUUAUUGGCUUCGACCGUCUUAAUUUAUUUAAUGCAACACUCCAUACAGUCUCGGCUUUUCCCUUCAAACUACAAGCAACAGCUGCAAUGGCAACAGGCAAUCCUUUACAUUCAUUGGAAAUUAAUCUUCCCAUUUCCUUUAAGGUAUCAGAGGUGGCUUCUGUUAUAAUUGCUUUAUUUUGAAAAAGAGUUCAUGCUUCAUCAUCCGUUAAAAUUGGCAAGUAAAUCUUUCUUUGACAAUCCAUUAAAGUACAAACUUCUUCUAAUCGAGUGGUAAUGAGAAUCUUGCAGCCUUUAUGGUGUUCAGAAGGAGGAAUCCCAAUACGACCAAAGUCAAGCUUCUCCCACACAUCAUCUAGAAUUAAAAGAGCACUUUUUUCUUCGGUUAAAAUUGAGCACAAUCUUUGAGCUCUCUGCAUUUCUUCGGUUUCUGGAAUUACAUGUUGUAGUGAACUUGCUAUUUUUUCUUGAAUCCUUCGAACUUCCACUGAACUAGAAACAGGUACAAAAAGAACUUUUUCAAAAAGAUGGUCUGCUUCUACUAAUUUCAUAACCUCCAUUGCUAAUGUGGUUUUACCACAACCCCCCAUUCCAUACAACCCAAUCAUGGAAACAUCAUUAUUUUUCACUGCAUCCAGUAGUUGCUCAUAUGCAGAUUGUCUACUCUCAAAAUUCAUGCAUUUUUCUGAAAGAAUGUCAAGGGUGCCUGAAGGUAGCGUAGCGAUGCGGUCAAAUGACACAUAUUUUUUACCUUCAUCAAUGAACUUCUCAAGGUCAAAAAUUUUAUUUUCUAGCUUUUUUCCUAAUCGGUAUCGCCAAAUCCAAUUUGGACAAUACCCAAAGCAGCACAUUUUUUUUGUUCUUGCCUCUUCUAGCAACUUAUUCACUUUACCUAUGUUACUCAUAGCAUCUUGCAGCCACUUGUUAACAACUCCACUUGUCUCUUUAGUUUUUCUCUUGGCAUCUUCAACGGAUUUUUGGACAUCAUCUUUUGUUACAAUCAAAUCGUCCUCUUCUUGCUCAAGUUUUCUUACAACAUUGUUAAAGGAGCGAAGAUAACGCAAUUGAUUUAAUACCCCACACACUAAAUCUCUUGAAACAGAAGAUGCAAAGCCCACAAGGUAGUCCAUCAAUUUGUUCCACCAAAUGCAACUUUCUUUAACCUCAACAACAAAGGAUGUAUUAGAUAAAAAUAUUUACUUUUAAUAACAGUAUGUUUUGAUAAAGUUUUAACCUCCGUCCAACAAAAAAAUGAAUCAUAUCCAAACGUGUAUUUAAUGACACACAAGUAUGUAAAUCAAAAUAUUUCUUAAGUCAAAAAAAAAAGUAUAGGAGUACAAAAUAUAGUUUGAUCAAAACAUGCACUAUAUACAAAAUUAACAUUAUAUAUUUUUUGUAAGUUUAAUUUUGUUGAUAUUUGUUUAUAUUUUCUGAAACACUUUUAAAUCGUAUCAAAUUUAGAAAAAAAUUGUAAAUAGGAAAUGAACAAAAAAUAUGUAAUUCUGUAAAAUGUUAAUUGUUAUAGAGAAUUCUAUAAAUCAAGUUAUUAUAUGUAUGAAGAGAUUGGUGACCUAGUGAGUAAGAAGAAUUCCACACUUACGCCCAAAACCACUUUAAAAACAUUUCGUUAUACAAAACCAUACUUUGGUUAUACCUUGCGAGCUGGGUAUUUUUGGCCAACGCUGGAGCAAGACUGUAAAAUGUUCUUUCAAAAAUGUAAAUGUUGUUAAGAGCACGUCAACAACAUCAGUAUACGAGCUGAACAACAUUUUUGCCUCGUGGUCGUCCGUCUAGUGGGGAAUGGACAUUUUCAGUCCCUUCCUGGUCAAUAGAGCACAUAACAAAUUUCUCUUAGUGUCUAUCAACUAUUUCACCAAGUAGGUAGAAGUUGAACCCUUGGCUACCAUUACUACCCAACAUGUUCAAAAAUUUGUUUGGAAGAUCAUAUGUUGGUUCGACCUACCACGUACGGUGGAAAUGGAUAAUGGUCGACGAUUUCUUGAUAAGAAGCUAGUCGAGUUCUAUAAAAACUUAGGCAUCAAGCACUUCAUCAGCUCAAUCAAACAUACUCAAACAAAUGGCCAGGUCAAAGCUGUAAAUAAGACAAUUGUAGCCGAGCUAAAGCGGCGGCUGGGGAGCCAAGGGCAGAUCAGUGGACGAAUUGCGAGAAUUCCUUUGGGGUACCAUUGCUCCCCACAUGAAACCAUUGGAGAAACCCCCCUUUAACCUAAUGUAUGGUACUGAUGUCAUGCUACCAAUCGAAGUAGGAGAACCGUCUGCCCAAAAGAAACUGGCAAAAUCUGAACUUGAACGAAGAAUAUAUCCGAGCAAAGCUAGACACUUUGCCAAAAGGUAUAAUAUGUCGGAAAACUUGCGAGGCCAGAAGAAACUGUGCUUACGGGAAGCUCACGGGAAAUUGGGAAGGCCUAUUCAUGGGUCACUGAAGAUUUAAAGAACGGCGAGUGCCGGCUCGAACACCCAAAUGACAAAGCAAUACCAAACACAUGGGAUGCGUCACAUCUCAAGUUUUACUUUAGUUAAAAAUCCUUGUAAUAUUUUCUGAUAGUGAAUAAAAUCAGGAGGAUGCAGAGCCGAUAAUCUGUGUACACCCAACCUAUGAAACAUUCUAAGUGAACUCCUUGAGCUGAUUGAUCGACAUGGAAUGUUCCAGGUAAACUCUUGUUGUAUCAUCAUUCAUCCAACCUAAGAAACAUUUCAAGUAAACUCUUAGAGCUGGCCGAUUGGUUAGGAACGUUCCAAGUAAACUCUCAAGUCAUUCAUCCAACCUUGGGAAUGUUCCGAGUGAACUCUUAAAGUUGACGAAUCGGCAAGGAAUGUUCCAAGUAAACUCUCAUCGUAUCAUCAUUCAUCAACCUUAAAGGAUGUUCCAAGUAAACCCCCUAGAGAUGACCGAUCGAAAUCAAGUGUUCCUUAAGAAGUUAUAAAAGUGAAAAAAAACAUGAACAUUAUCAUUUAAUUCCGACUUCAAAGUUCAAGAAAGUUAGAAAGAUAUUAACAUGCUACAUGACGGAACGUCGUAUUUAAAGUGCAUAAAAAGUUGUUAUAAAGUACAAAUAAAGCAUUAAGCCUUGAAGGCAACAAAGCAACAAUUCCAUUAAAAGUAUGUGUGAGGUAUACAAAAGAGGCUGAGCAGGAAACAAGGUGGCUUAAUAUCAAAAGCCUUGUUUCUCGAACGGCCCAUUUAUAAUUUAAGUUGUAAAAAAUUAAAAUAAAAAACCCCAAUGCCUAGGAAGGUCCUUCACUUUUCCCUAUCCUCUUCUCUCUCCCUUGCAUCUUCAACAAUAACCUCUAUAUGUUGAGGUUCUUUUGGAACGAUCGAAAGUGCUUCAUUGGCUUGAGCGAAAGGAUCGGGAAUGUCCACAAGCUACACAUCGAUCACUAUCUUAAUGAUGUCAUAACCUUCAUAACAGGUCAAGACGUCAAAAAAGUGAGCACACUACAUGAUUCCCUUGUGGAAGCCAUUGAUGUGUUCGUUGUACACUUCGCCUUCAAAAGAUUCAUUUUCCUUAGUCAACUUGGCCCUCUCUGCUAGAAGAUCAUCCCGCUCGGCCAGCAGAUCCUUACACUGCCCGCCCGUCCAUUGAAGUUCAAGCUUCAAGUCAUCAUUAGCCUGUAGUAGUUGCAAUUGGAGUUGUGGGCUUCAAUCACAGUGGUCGAGGCCUUUUUCUUAUUCUCUUCCUCGACCUUGUGCACCUCCUCUAAACAACAAUUAAAUUCCUCGUUCGCCUUAAGAGCCUACUCCAGGUCUAGCUAAGCGGCUUGCAACUCUUCGGUUGAAGCAGUGCCCUUAGGGGUAUACCCACCAAGCAUGCCAUGCAAAUACUAGCCCGAAUGUCUAGUUCAUUAGCCAUAUUUGCAGCCUCCUCAGAAGUCAUCCCCUUGAAGAACACCUUCUCUUCGGGAGAUAGAUUGAAGGCCACAUGGUUAGCGAUCUAUACAUUCGAAUCGAGCGACUCGGUAAGAAGAGGCCCUUCUAGCGAACUUAUUUUGCUUCUCUUAUGCGAAGAAUGAUCGUUAAGAGGUUUUGGUCAAACGAUCGGGGUCAAGGGUGUGCAACCUUGGGAUCCUUGACAGUUUGGGUUGGAGCAAUAACCUAGGGAGAGGGGGCGAGAAGAUGUGCCCUCCUAAGCCUUCUUCAACUCUUCCUUUCACCGAGCGACCAUCAUAGAGAAGGCGUUUGACUUUCCCUUAUCCAUGGCAGCCGUAAGAUCUGAAAGAAAAAAGAAAACUUAGAUAAGUUAAAAAUGAUAGUUCUAAGACAUUACAUAACAAAAGGCUUACCAAACACUCUAGUACAUAGAGCGUCUGAGCCAAGAUAAUUGAUAAGCUCAUAGGAGGGGGCCCAACGGGGUAAUUGGUUAAUCAUGUCGAUCGUUUCUAUUUCCGCUAGUGUCAGUGCGGAUUUUUCCCAAGCAGUUAUUCUCUUAGGAUGCUCGGUCCAAUAGAAGGAAAAUUUAGGUUGGCCGUUAUCUAUAAAAAAUCUCAACUGACCAAGCUUUGUUAUUACAACUUCAAUAAAGUUUUCUUAUUCCCCUUAUAAGAUGUAUUGAAAAAGGUAAAAAAGGUCUGAUCCUUCUCUGAAAUAAGAGGCACCCAAUACUUGUUAGGAUGUGGCCUGGUGCGAAAAAAUUACAAAAACAAUGUGGGCAUUGGAGUCGAAUCCAAGGCCUUGCAUACGGUGACAAACGCUUGCAUGAAAGCCACCCACAUUGAGAUGAAGAGUGGUUGGGGCCACAUUCAACUCCCAUAAAACUACCAUGUGGAAGUCAAAGAAUGGAAGUUGAACGACAUGUCAUGAAAAAUAAUGGAGUGUGCGUAGAAAAAGUCAGACGUGUAACCCUCCUUCCCGCGUGGCAAGCACACUUGGUACUCUUGCAAACGAAAAGCUUGAAACACCCUGCAUUUGCGGCAUCCACCACUAGGUUUACUCCAUCCUUGAAAUCCACCAAGGAUGUGCCGAUAUUGAAGUAGGAAACAUAGAGGCCAACCUCAUGAGGAGCCCAACCAUAUCCUGGAACGGGCGAUAACGGGGCGACCGACCCCGUCCAUUCAACUUCCACAUUUAUCUCUAUGGUGGCCCCCACACCCUCUUCGACUGAAGCAACCUCAUUAUUUAUGUACACAGUUGUCCUCCAUCAUCUGAGGACUCUCCCCGCUUAGUUGAUCCUAGAAUAGAGUAACCAACGGACGACGAUGACGACUCUCACACAUCAUUAGCAUAUCCCCGACCUUCCCUCUUGACGGACUCCUUAGAUGAAGAAAGCACCAUGGUUGACAUUAUUAACUUAGAGUAGAGAAGAAGAGAAAAUGUUUGGUGGCAAAGAGUAGGAAAAGUGUAAGUGUGAAAAUGACAACAACCCCACUCCCUAUUUAUAGAAAAAAAAAUAGUUUUUGCAGGCAAAUCUCAGCCACCGAAAUCAACUUGAUCCGACGAUCGACAACAUGUGACCUUCCGUUUCAAGUGGAUGCACCAAUCCCAAGGAUACACGUGUCUCACUCAUAUUCGACGGAACCCACCCUAUCACAGAAUUCUUGGUCGUUUAUCCGACCAUAAUAAACCCCAACGACCCUUUUAAAUGAAAGAAAUGCCCGAGUUUAGGAAGCCUGUACACUGUAUGACCGCGCAAUUAAUCAUGAACCGAGCGGUCAAUAGAGCCUUCAAUGCAACAACGAAAUGAUCGACGAACCGUGAACAAGAUCAACAAAUAAGAAUAAUUAUGUUAACUACUAAGUUAGGUCAAUUAUUGUAAGGGUCAUAAUUGGGCCAACACUAAUUCAAAGCUCAUUCCAAAAGUCUAUAAAUACAUAUUUGAUAUUCAGGUAGUUGGUUACUCUUACUACACAUUUACUGCAGACAAACACUAACUUUAGACAAAGUAUCUUUUAUAGGUAAGACCCGAUCGAACUUAACCUCGAUCCCAUAAAUCAAAAUAGUAUGUAAUUUUAACUAAUACAUAUUUUAAUUUUCAUUAAUAUUAUAAUUAGUGUGUGUGGUAUAUUAUGUAUCACUUAAAGAAGAAUGCUAGUAUACGUUAAUUGUGGUUUGAUUGUUAUGAUUAAAUUAUGCAUUUUAUUACUCAAUGUUUAUGUGAAAUUUCAUUAUGAGGUAUCGGUUCUAAACUAAUGAAUUUUCGUGUAUCAAUUGUUUUAAUGUUUAAUGGGCAUAAUUUCUCUAAUUUGAAUAAACAAAUCAUGUUAUUACUAACCCUAGCGGCUAUGAACAAAAAGCUUUUGGAUAGAUGAAACAAACUUAAUGUUCAUGAUGAUGGCCAUCUCAAAUAAUAUUAAGACGACUCUUCCUAAUAUUGAAAAUGUAAAAGAGUUUAUAGGGUUUGUGGGAGAGCGCCCUACACAAUUGAUAAGUCUCUUGUUGGGACAUUAACAAGUACAUUAGUCACCAUAAAUGGGUCACAUUCUUUGGAUGAGCAUAUUAUUGAAAUGUUAAACAUUAUAGUAAGACUUAAGGCAUUUGAAAUAGGUAUGAAUGAGAACUUCCUUGUGCAACUUAUUUUGAGCUCAUUAUCAUUUAGGUAGGGGUGGACAAAUCGAACUGAAUUGUAUUGCACUGCUAAAAACUGAACUGAACUGUAAAACAGUUCAGACAAACUGAACUGAACUGUAAAACAGUUCAGACAAACUGAACUGAACUGUUUUUUGUUUUAUCAAACUGAACUGAAAUGAACUAUACUGAAUUAUACUAAAUUACAGUAUGAAUUGAACUGAACUAUUAACUGAAUUGUAAACUACACUAACUGAACUAUUAACUGAACUGUAAACUGCACUAACUGAACUAAACUAUUAACUAAAUUGUAAAUUACACUAACUGAACUAUUAACUAAAUUGUAAACUACACUAAUUUUAACUAAACUACAAUAUAAACUGAANUNAACUAGUAANUAUNCUAAUUUUAAACUGAAUUGUACUAAUUUUUAAACUAAAUAGUAUAACAAUACAUGUUCUUUUCUUUUUAAUUGAAAAUUAUUUUAAUAUUUAUUUUAUUUUAUUCAUAANNNNNNNNNNNNNNNUUAAUUAUUUAUUUAUUUUAUUAAUAGAAAAAAUAUAAAUAUAUGUAUAUAUAUAUAUAUAUAUAUAUUUAUAUAUAUAUAUAUAUAACUUAAAAAAUAUAAAAAUAUAAAUUACAUUUUUUAUUUUUAUUGAUAAAAAUAUAAAUUUUGUGAUAAAAAAGUUGUUUUAAAAAAUUAAUUAUUAUUUUUUUAUGAACAUUUAUUUUUAUUAAUAUUUUAUUAAAUAAAGUUUUCUUGACAAGAUGAAACAAUUGAACUGAAAUUAGAGAAGAUGUAACAGUAGAUACAGUUCUCACAGUUAACUGAACUGUAAUUGUUAUCAGUUCAGUUUUUAAAAACUGAACCAUAAGAUACUAUACUGAACUGUUACUAGAAAUAGAUCAGUUAUUUUUAGUACAAUAUAGUACAUUUAACUCCAGUACAGUACAGAUCAGUUAUUUUUGCCCAGCCCUACAUUUAGGUAUAGGCUAUUUAGUUUAUAUAUAGGAAUUUGGUUUCAUAAUCUAAAAUUGAUGUUACUAUAUUUUAAUUUGGUUAAUGGAUCUGUUAACUUCUUUAAGCACAAUCAUCUCAUUGGUAGUGUAAUUUUUUUAUGAUACUUUAGAUAAGAUGAAUUUGAAUGGUUUAUAUUUUGAAGUAUGUUAAGUAAUUCUUCUUUAACCAUGCUUUUAUGGAUGCAAGCUUUGAAAAAUAGUCAUAGAUGCAUGCUUUGAAAAAUAACCAUGUAUUUGAUAAACAAGAUUUCAAGUAAAGUUAUUCUUAACAUACCUCAAUUGUGAAUUGAUAGGACAACCAAUAUAAGACACCCGAACGUUUGGGUGUCAAACAGAAAUUAUGAUUUAAAAUCUGCAAGAACAGAAGCUAGAUGUAAGAAUAAUCAAUAGAUCUUUCAUUGAUUACCCAAAAAGAAAAUAAUCAAAGGGGUAUUAGUAGGAAAAUUGUUGAAACUAAAAAUGAAAGGUUCAUUGAAAAUGAUGAAAUCGAUGAGAGUUUGAUUCCAGGGCAUGUGGAAAUUAAAGAAGUUAUAUAUACUGAUAUUUUUAAUCAUAAAACAUAAGAUUUGUAUUUAUAAUGUUAGAAUGAUAUUAAAGUAAUCUAGAAAUGUAAUAUUGGAAAAAAGAAAGUUGAGAAAUGUAUAGGAAACAAAAAAUCGCAUGCGUACAUAUACAAGUUUACUGGUGCUUUCACUCAAAUAUACCUCAUGCAAAUUAACAACAAAAGAGAAAACUCAUUGGGUAUCCAAAACUUUAAACAUGAAAACCUUUUGUAAGUUUGUAUGUGCUAAUUAUUAUAAAAAGAAGGAAGACGGGUAAAAUAUAACGACACCUGGUAUAAAUAUAAAUACAUUUAAACUAAUGAUUAUUUAAAAAAAAUCAAAUCUUAGUAUUUUUUUAACUAUAAUUUUAUUACAUUAUAUAUCUAUGUGAAUUUUGUCCGUAUCUAGGUAUAUGUGUUAUGAUUUUACGAUUUUCGGAUGACCUGUUAUAUAUUAAUAUUGUUAAAUUAAAAUGAUUUUCUCACUUGGACUCGUGCUUGGAAAUGACAAUUUAAUAGCUUUUCUAAAAGUAAAUAGAAUAGUCAAUUUGAUGUAUCUGAUUGAAAAUAAAUCAUGUGAUUAGUAUGUUAAUUCUACAAAAUGAAAUAAUUAUUACCACAAAAACUUGUAAGAACCAAUAAAGUGAUUUCUAAGAUACCUCUUUAAUUGUAGAUUGAUAUAAGACUUCUGGAUGUUCGGAGUUGUCAUACAGAAAUUAGGGUUUAAAAUCUGCAAAAACAAAAACUUGAGCUAAAAAUAAUUAAUAGAUGUUUCAAUGGUUAGCCAAAAAGAAAAUAAUCAAAGGGGUAUAAGUUUUGUUGUCUUAAUCAUAGUAAGAGAAUUGUUGAAACUAAAAAUGUAAGAUUUGAGAUAUUUACAGGAAACAAAAGAUGGAAAGCUUAGUAAAGAAAUUAUACGAUUUAGCCAAAUCGAUUUAAAAUUAGUAAGAAGAUUAAUUUUUUUUAUAUUUUAAUUAUACCAUAAUAAAUAAUAUAUGUAAAUGAUAUAUUUGAGCGAGCAUUAAUUUUUUAUAUUUUAACUAAAACACUUUUAAGAUAAAUGAUAUAUGUAAUACAGUAGAGGGUAUAACAAUGAUUACAGCAGAUAAUAGGUUAUUUUAGUAAUGGACAAUGAUAUUUUGACAACUCUUUUUUAACAACUUUUUUACAACAGGACACGUGUCAUCAUUUUAUUGGUCUGUUUGAAUUUAUGUUUAAAAAAAUAUUUGAAACGGACCAAUCAUAAACUACCAUGUAUGCGUUGUCAAAAAGUUGUCAAAAAAAAGUUGUUAAAGAGACUUUUUCCUUUUAGUAAUAUAGAAUUUAUUAAAUUUUAUAAUGAGGGAAGUGAAAAUGAGGAAAGAUAGAGAAGUUUACAUUACCUGGUUGAAGUGAGAGAUAGGAGAAUUGGUGAGUUAGUGUAGAAAUAGAAAGAGAAAGAGAUGAUAUGUAUACAGAGCUUCUCCAUUGCAAAGAAAAGGAUUAGAAUUUCUUGAUAGCUAGAGAGAGAUGAAAGUUAUAUGCAUUGCUUGAAUCACUCUAACACGCAACACAAAAGAAUAAAAAACCAGACUUUCUCAACACUCUAACAACCAUAUAUACCUUUUUCUUUAAUACACCUAACAAUUGCUUCUUUUCUUUUUAACCAAGGUAAGUAAACAGAGAUUAAAAUUCAUCUCUCGGAAGCAAAAUUUUCAACUUAAAGUGUGACAUGUGCUAUUUGAGAAAAAUAAAAUGGAAAUGGGUAUAGAGGAGAGAGAUUUUAUGGAAAACGUAUUAUUUCUGGAAACAAUUUGUUAAUUGAAGUUUGAUUUCGUUUAAUAAUUAUACAAAUAAAACUUCAUGUAUUAGAUUUAUUAUAAAAUGUAACGUCCAAAAAAACAAAGGAUCUUGGAUAUCUAUUAUUACACAUCCUUUUGCAAUCCUUAUUCUAUAAUCAACUCUAGAGUCUACACCGUCUGUUCUUGUAUCCAAAACAAUCUUAGCAUAUUAUCACAUCAACAAUAAAGGUAACCUAUUAAAUAACUAUUUUAUUGGCUCAACGAAAGAAUAGAAGAUAAGUUUGUGGUUGUUGUUGCAUAUAACUCUUAUUUUAGAUUAUAACUUGUAUCUUGAACAAACCUUAACUUUUACAAUCACAACCAUUUAAUUUAAAAGAUUUAUUUUAUUAUCAUAAAAGAUAAAAUGUUUAUCAAUUUGAUUCAUAUUUGGAUUGUUUCUUACAUUUUGACUCAUUAAUAUGCUUAAUUUUAUGACAUUAUAGACGGAUCAUUAACUUCGUACAUAAAAGAGUAAAUUAUAUAUAUUUUGAGAAUAAAAAAACUCAUUACGAAUGAACAAUAGAUAUGUUAUAAGUAAAACGAGAGAAUAGUAAUUUUAAAUUUUAACUGUUGUAAAAUAUUAUUAUUUUAUUGUAAUUGAAAGUUGUGCAAUGUUAAUAUUUUAUUAAUUAAAAACAGUUAAAUUUUUAAGUGCUGAAACAGUCAAAUUUUAAGGGUUGAACUUAUUUAUUGUUUUUUUAAUUUCUUUUAUUUAUUUUAUUAUUUCCUAGCUCUAUAAAUAGAGAGUUCUUCCCCAUUCCAAGAGAGAUUAUGUUGAGUCUUUCUCUUCCUCUUAGUUUCAUUUUUUUUUCUAUCCUGGUAUAAACUCUUUAUAGAGUUUCUUGCUAGUUCUGUGAUUCUCGAAUACAUUUCGAGAAGUUCUUGUUGUAUCCUGGGGGACUUGCACAACACGCCGCGGAUAAGUCCUUAAAGACAGUGAUCUACACGCCUCAGGAUAUGCGGUUCGAGAUUUUGGUCAGUAUUUUUUACUACAAUCUUAAGUACUUAAAUUUCAAUCUCGUUACUGUGAAGUCAAAAAGGUAUGAAAAGUUAAUCCUAUCUUAUUAUUGAUAAUUGCAAUUGUUAAUUUUUUAAAAUGCUUUGAAUGAUGGUAUGAUGUUUGUGCUCUAAUUGGAUGAUUUAUGAUGUUACCUUUUUUUUUAUUUCUAAACGAAUUUGGGAAUGGAAAAUUUUGAACAGACAUAUCAGUAACAUACAUUUAAGAUUGNCAUCCAAUUAAAAUUAUGAAUAGGUUUUAAAUUUGAAAAGAGAAAAUUGGAANAAUUAUAAUUAUAAUUAUAAUUAGGAAUAGAGUAAGAAUUUUGAUUUCCCGUUAAUUAAAAAAUAAUAAUUUGGGAUUGUUAAUUUCUUUUGUAAGUGGUAAAUUUUAAUUAUUUUCCCAAUUUUAAUUAGGGAAUUUAUUUAAACCAUUUUAAUCUUCAUUACUCUAGUAAAAUCCCAAAUUAUUUUUUAUAUCAGAUUCUAUCAAUUUAAAUAAAAUUAAAAUUUUUUUGAAUAUCUUUUAUGAUCAUGGAAAGUUACCUUUUGGUGAUUAAUUUAAUUCAAUGCUUAAUAUCAUGAUUAAAUAUUUCUGAUAUGAUAGGAUGAUUUUUGAAUUUUGGAUGAUAUCUUUAAUUAUUAAUAAAUGACAUUGAUUAUAUUAAUAAUGUUAAUAUCCAUUUGGAUUUUUAAACCAUUGAAUUCUAUAAUUGAAGCCAUUGAAUUCAUGUAAUUAGGAUUUACGUGAUUGAAUUCAAAUCAAAAUUCGGUAAAUUAUGGUUUCUUUUAGGAUAUAAUAAAGUUAGGGUUUUGUUCAAAUUAAAAAAUAAAAGGGAAAUUACGUUUGAAAGGUGGAGUUGCAGCAUUUCAAGAUAACCUUAGGUUAUGUUCAGAUUAGACUUUGGUGGGUUUGGAAUGUGUUGGUGCUGAUAUUAAAUGGAAUAAUCAUGUUUUUGGUAAACUAGGUGGAGAAGACUUAAGUUAAUUAUUUUUUCAUGAUAAUGAUUAAUGAAAUGGUUGAAUAUUUUUGUCUCUAUUCAAGUCUUGUGAGUAUAGAAAUUAAACAAAAAUGUCGUGGAGUACUGAGUUGUACUAUCAAUAAUAGUAAUAUGAAGAAUGUCAUGGUAAUAUUGUUGGAAUUGUUGUUCUUGCUAUAUUUUGAGGCACAUCUAUUUUUAUGGUCAACUUUUUUUUUUCUGAAGUGAUGUUAGAUUUGCCUUCAACAUAUUAGUUUACUUUAGUUUGGAUAAGUAAUUUUAUAGUAUUGUGAUCAUAUCUUCAUACAUAUAUAUUAUGAUUUGUCGCAUAAAAAAUUUGGAUUCAAUAUUGUGGGACCAUGAUGGGUUCACUCCAUAACAUAUAAUGGAUUGCUAUGGUGCAUGACAUAUAAUAUGUUGUUGUAAUGUUUAGGCAUGGAAUCCAAUGCAAGGUAUCUUAUGAUUUGUUAUAAUGUUAAGUUUGUAGAAAUUUUUUUUUUCAAAGAUUGACACAUGGUAUUGGAUGGAAAGCUAACGUAUGAUUAUACAGUGGCAGUUUUGAGUUAAAUACUCUAAAUCUGAAAAUAGAGAAUAUGUCAUUAUAUAUUUAUAUGAUGAAUGACAUGUUAAUUAUUGAUACAUGCAAUAAGAUAGUCUCUAAAAAUAAGGUUUCUAGAAUCUUAAAUAUAAGUUGCUUCUAGGUGAAGUUUAUGUAAUUUUAGAAGUUGGAAUCAUAAGGAAGGGAGAUAGUAUAUUACUAUUCCAAGAACAAUAUAAUGAGAAACUUCUUAAAGAAGUUUGAGUAUUAUGAUUUCAAACCUAUGAGUAUCCCUUAUGAUCCUAACUCUAAAUUAAUGAAAAAUAGAGGAAAAUUAUUAUCUCAGCCUCAGUAUGCCCAGAUAAUUGGGAGCUUACUACACUUAAUGAGUUUCUAUAGACCCUGAUAUUGCUUAUACAGUAGGUAGACUGAGUAAUUACACUCAAUGUCCAAAUCAAGAACAUAGGGAUGCACUUGUUAGGCUUAUGAGAUACUUAAGAGGUUCAAUGGAUUAUGCCAUUGAAUAUAGUGGAUAACCCAUUAUACUAGAAGGGUAUAGUGAUGCUAACUGGAUCUUUGAUUCACGAGACAAAAUCCACUAGUGGUUAUGUAUUCACACUUCGGGGUGGUGCGAUUACAUGGAGAUCAGCCAGAGAAACAAUUAUUGUGAGAUCAACAAUGGAAUCUGAGUUUGUUUCUCUCGAGAUGACUGAUAAUGAGGCUGAGUGGUUGAAAAACUUCUUAGCGAACAUUCCAUUAGGAAUGAAACCAACCCCGUCGGUAUCGAUACAUUGUGAUUGCCAAUCGGCAAUAACUAUAGCUAAAAACAAGAGUUUGGUGAAACAAUUGCUAAAGAGUGGAAUUGUUUCCAUUGAUUAUGUGAAGUCAGAACGAAAUUUAGCGGAUCCUCUGACAAAACCCUGGGAAGACAAAUGUUAUUAGAAACAUCGAGGGGAAUGAGACUUAAGCCACUUGCAAACAAACAAGUGAUGGUAACCCAACCUUUGUGAUUGGAGAUCCCAUGAAUAAGGUUCAUAUGGGUAAAAACAAGUCACUUGUUAGUUCUGAUAGCACUAAAUUGAUUUUAAUCAAUUAUAUCCCUUCCUAUGGUGUGUGUGAGAAAGUGCUAGAGACUGCAUCAUUGAGAGACUAAACUUUGUUAUUAAAAUUCUAUGUGGUGAAAGAAUUUUAAUUUAAACAAAGUUUUUAAUGAUUUUCAUAUCCUUUAUGGGUGGUGUAUGAUUUGCAGCAUACACUUGAUGAAAUCACCUAUAUGAGUGUCAAGUGGGGCCGCUUGCAUGAGAUCUUGGCAUGAUCUCUAGAGCACUCAUGAAUACUGGGCACGCGCAUGGCCUAGUAAGCGCAACACAGCGAUAAUAGCAAGGAUUAUGGGGGUGUGUUGUGAUUGAUAAACCUCUAACACACGUCAAGUGUCUUUGGUUCAUAUAGCUUGCUACACCAACUACACCGUGUGUUAAGUUUCUUGAUCUAAGACUGGUUCAUAUAGCUUGCUAUACCAGCUCUGAUGCAUUACAUCCUAUGAGACCCAGGAUAAAAGGUUUCUUUUCUUUUCUUUCAACUUUCUCUUGCAAUAAGUGGGGGAUUGUUGUAAAAUAUUAUUAUUUUAUUGCAAUUGAAAGUUGUGCAACGUUAAUAUUUUAUUAAUUAACAACAGUCAAAUUUUUAAGUGCUAAAAUAGUCAAAUUUUAAGGGUUGAAACAGUCAACUUAUUUAUUGUUUUUUUAAUUUCUUUUAUUAUUUUCUAGCUCUAUAAAUAGAGAUCUCUUCCCCAUUCCAAGAGAGAUUAUGUUGAGUCUUUCUCUUCUUCUUAGUUUCAUUUUUUUUCUAUCUUGGUAUAAACUCUUUAUAGAGUUUCUUGCUAGUUCUGUGAUCCUCGAAUACAUUUCGAGAAGUUCUUGUUGUAUCCUGGGGGACUUGCGCAACACACCGCGGAUAAGUCCUUAAAGACAGUGAUCUACACGCCUCAGGAAAUGCGGUUCGAGAUUUUGGUCAGUAUUUUUUACAUUAACUUGAUAAAGAAAAAUUAGGAGCUCCAUAUAGUUGAUGUAAAUCGGUUUGCUCUAAUAGUCUUCAAUGAUGUUUUUUUCACUAAAGUUUCGAAAAAGUCUUCAAAUGGAUUGGUUUGUUCCAUUCCAAAAGUCUUCUACUUGUUUCUCUUUAACAUAACAUAAAUGCUAAAAAAUUGCAUCCCUCAUAUGCUUUGCCGUGACACACUGAUAGAAGUACAGUUGUAGAAUUGAAAGUCCUUACACAGAAUAUAUAUAUAUAUAUAUAUAUAUAUAUAUAUAUAUAUAUAUAUAUAUAUAUAUAUAUAUAUAUAUAUAUAUAUAUAUAUAUAUAUAUAUAUAUAUAUAUAUAUAAGGCACUUAUUGAAGGAAGGGAAACAAUGAAACUAUAAGUUACAUAAUACAACAAAUACUACUUUUGGUUUUUUAUAACACAUCUUUUGUCUUUGUCUCACCAAGAGAACCAUCUUACACAACAAACAAGGUAACAAACCUACGUUAAAUUAAUUCAGCACACCAAGCUACAUGAAAAAGUUUGAAGUCUCAACAUUAUAGUAUAGUUGGAAGUCUUAAUAACAAUGAACAACGAAAAUCCUCACUAAGGAUUUCUUGCAGCCAUGCGAUCGAGUUCAUAUUCACUACACAAAACUGACCAUUUAUAAGCCAUUUUAAGCAAUUCUUGCUCAACUUUUCUUUGAUCUUCCAAUAUUUGAGAUUUGUUUUUUCUCACAUUUUCAAGCUCCUUUUUGUACAUUAUAGUUUCCGCAAUGCAUUUAUUUUUUCCCUCAUCCAGAGAUGAUAAGGCAGCCUCACAAACUUUUAUUUCUUCCUUCAACCUAUUGAUUUGUUCUUUCAAAACCACUUCUUUCAGUUGAGCUUCAUCAUUGAAAUUCUCUGCCUCAGAAAUUUUAAUGGCCACCUCAUUCUCACGAGCUUCAAGUUCUGCCAACUUGUGAGUGGUAACAAAGCGUUGCUUAAAGGAGCAUAGAAUGGUUGGGAAGUGUUGGUGCAUAGUCUCUAUAAUGUGUUUGAGUCGAUCUGAUAGAGUGACAUCUUUGAAAGGAAGGUUGGACAGAAAAUUAAGGGUAGAAAAAAGACGGAGGGUGUUAGUCUCAGAACUAACUAUAUCCUUGAGAGACAUCUUGAGAUAGUUUUCGAGCUCAACAAGGGUCUUUAAAACUAUAUUAUCUUCACCCUCUUUCCCCAAAGUAAUUGGUAUCAUAUGAUUGCCCCCAAAGUCUUGAAUGAGUUCAUGAUGGCCUUCACUUUCUUUAGUAAUACGUGCCUCAUUUUGGCUGCUCCUAAUUUCACUCUGAAAGAGGAAUAAGAAAAAAAUACAUCAGAAAAAACGUUAGAUAACAUCAAGUCAUAAUAGUUGUUGCAAAGCAUUGAGUUUCUUAAUACCAUUUUGGAUGAGUCGUAUGAGUGCAAGUAGAAGUUAAAUUGUGUUGUUAUUGUUUUUCUUUAAGAGGUUAUAAGGGAGAAAUUAUAUAAACCUGACUUUAGUCCAAUCCAAGGAAUUAAUACUACUUCUAAGUUUAAACCUUAAAAUAAUGGAUGUAUGAGUUUUCUUUUUUAUAGUGUUUAUAUUAUGAAGGUUGUUAAACAGAUAAGGGAGUUAUUGUUGUAUUUUACAAUAUAUGUGCAGUGGGUUAUAUUUUACAGAAAAAGGUAUCUCUCUUAUUUAUAAGAGAUGUAAGCCUAGAAAAAAUAAAUGCUAUUACUCUUUCUCACCAACCAUUAAUCAUACAAUCAACUUCCCCACAUCACAAGAUUUAUAAUUAAUACCAAUCUGACAAACAAGAAUUUAGAUUGUAGAAAUUUUGAAAAAGUUUCAUGUUCUAACAUUACUUAAUGUGGGACUUCACACUUAUGCUUAGAGAUUAUUCCUUAUCAUCUUUCUAUUGAGAAUUUCUUUUAUAUAGUAUAUUUUUCCUUAAAUGUGUAUGAUAUUAUUACUGUUAUACUACGGUGAUAUUUUUAAAGCUUUUAAAAUAAAUAUAUUAUUUCAUUUUAUUUAUGUACUCUAUGAUAAAUAAAAUGUAACAAAAUAUGAAAUAUUUUCUAAAUCAACAGAAUAACUAAUUUCUAAGAUUGAAAAAUAUUUCGAAAACUGAAAUAUUUUCAAAAAAGUAGUUUAAAUAAAAAUAUAUUAAAUUAAUAUUAUCAACAAAAUGCCAUUUUGAUAAUAUCUAUUGAGAUAUUAUCAUUAUGAUUAUUUAUUUUAUUAAUUAGGAAUUAUAUUUUUAGUCUAAUUAAUUAUUAUGAUUAGUAACGAAUAUAAUAAAUUUAAAUUCCAAUAUAGAAAUUCAGUAUUUUUUGUUUUUCAAUUUCAUUCUUGUGAUAAAUGAUAAAUUAGAAUCACACCAUUUUUUUUAUUCUGACCGGAUAUGUUAGAAAUGUGAAUUGCAUAAAAUAAACUUACAUGUGCACGUGAUUUAUUUUGUAAAGUAAGUGUUAGGUCCAACUGAAAGGUGGCGGAUUCGGAAAGAACUGAUGAAGCUGCCAUAUUGGUGUUGUUUGCAAUGGUUUCCUCUACGGCAACUUGCUCAAUACUCUGUGCAAGAACAAAUGAUAUGUAGCUUUGGUCUAAUAUAAGUUGCAGACUUCAUUUCUUUCUAUGACUUAUACUAGCAGGGUUAAGUGCACAUGCAUAUUAAUUUAGAAUUAUUUAUGGUAUUUUUGUUUAUCAUUUACCUUAGGAAUUUCACCAACUGGUUUUUCUGAAGUGAAAACUUCUGCAACAAAUUCCUGCUCUGCUUCUUCAUUUCUCAGAGUCACAAUGUGGUCAUUAGAAGCAACACCUAUUUCACCUUCUUUAUCAACCAAGUCAGAACCUUCUUCCAAGCUAAUCUUAGGCCCAUCACCUUCUUCAACAACGUCCCCACUACUAUACCUGUUUAACAAACUUAAAUUGCUUGCCAGAGAACAAAAAACUCAGAAACUGAUGCUAUCAAUCUUUUAAGAAUUUGAUAUGCCACCAAAUGUAUACUCAUAUAACAAAAUAGUCAUACCUCUUAGAAUUCUCAUCUAUUUGUCUCCGUGCAAUGUCCUCUUCCAGAUGAGGAUCCCUCGCCACAACACGUUGACGCAUUUCCUCUACCCAUGAACUCUCAAAUCCAAUUUCAAUAGCUUCUUCACAUAGUUUAUCGAACUCUUUUUCUCUUUGAGGAAUAAUAACACCUUCGACACUCUUGUUAUGAAGGAACAACAACAUAUCUGCCAAAAUUUUCAACUUCCAAGCUUGAAAACGCUCACUAAACUUCUUGGAAGCAUUCCAGAGAUGAGGAUAUGUUGUUAUUUCCUCCAUCAGAAGAGAAAUAUGUACAUCAUCCAGAUCAACAAAAUGUUUAUAUGUUCUCAAUCUUGUACGAAUAUCUGCAGAAGCUGUAAAAAAGUUUGAGAGGGUGAUAUGGAAAUAUUUGAUGGAAAUGAGAAAAUAAAAAAUAAAAAACCUGAAGAAAUGUCAAUGUUGUUGUUAGGAACAACAUUUAUUCCUUGGUUUGCCACGGUUACUGGCUUGCCUUCAUUCAUCUUAUGAUCUUGUUCAACUACCUUGGAAUCUAGUGCAAGUAUGUCCUCGCCACCAGACUCAAUGUAAGUUGCAACACCAGUUGAUGAAGAUUUUCUCUGUGUAUUAUAAAUUGAAAAAAUACGAUUGAGUGAGUGACUCUAAAGUUUAAAAGGAGCCCUAUUACUAUUGCUUCUUCAAGUGCAUAUUGGUAUGGAAAAUCUCCUUUACGGUUUGAUUCCUCAUACACCAACUUUCCUUUUAGGAGUUAGUCUUAAUACUUAAAAUCCAUUUUUAUGUUUAGUAAUAUUACAAAUUAGAGGUGGGCUUCUAAAUUCUAAAGCAGUAGUUGGUAUUUCUAGUCUAUCAGUGAUAAGGUAGAACUUUUCCAAUAAAUGUUGUCAGUUUCAUAUUUUCAAUGCAAAAGCUAAGUUUGGUAAGAUAACUUUGAUUGUGACUAUACUUCCUUCUUUUCCAUAUUUAGGUUACUAAUUUCUAUUUGAUUCUUAAUCAGUUGACAUAUUAUGACUUUAUCUAAUGCAAUGGUCUUUUUAUCUGAAUCAAGGGACAACAAUAAUUUUCUUUGUUCAUUCCUUAGCUUUGAGUAGUAUACAUCAACCAUUCAUUUCCCGUUAAAUUACUAACCAGAUGUGCAUUUGUUGGUAAUUAAGGUGGCUUCUGUUUAUCUACCUAAGAUGAUUUACUUUAAGAAUUUUAAUGGUAAAUUAAUUGUAAUGAAUCACAUUGAUUUGUUUUAAUAAAAAGGAGAUCAAAUUUAGUACGUUAAAUUGAAAAAAAUUAUUCUAAUGAUGAGACAUUAUCGGCUAUUAAAAUUUUUUUUAUUUUAUUUAUGUUCAUAUUCAUAGAUUGGUUGGUUCUGACCUGUAAUGAAGUCAACUCACUGCUAUCAUUAAUAGUUGAAUAACGGUAUAUGGAUCUUAUUAUGUCUUCAAAUUCCUGGCUACGAACUUCAGUGUUUAUGAAAUCUGUAGAAAAAAAAAAAAAAAAAUAUAUAUAUAUAUAUAUAUAUAUAUAUAUAUAUAUAUAUAUUAGGAAACUAACGUGAAAAUGAAAUUCAUAAGAAAAAGGAAUACAACCUCAACUUUCCAUGAAGGAUCAUUACAUCGUUACAAUUAAAAAAAUAUAUAUAAAAAGUUGGGAAUUUUUUUAUCACCCAUCAAAAUAAAGUAGCGCCUCUACGUCUUCAUAAAUAAAAUUACUAGAACCUAAUAUUAAAAGACUUGCAGCAAAAAUUAAGUUAAUGUUCUAAUUUUAAAAAAUUCUGGUGGUACUCGGUUGGGAAUAUAUACGUAUGCAAGACUUAUUUCAAAGCAUUUAGUUAAUAUAACAAUUAUUUAAUAUUUCUUGACAUCAUAAAAAAAUUAAAAAAUAAUAAAUUAUACGUAAUAUUACACUAGGAUAGAUUAAAUUACAUAGAUAACUAAAUUUUAACAGUGCAAAGAAAAUGUGAAAAUAACUAAAAUUCUUAAAAUAAUUUGAGUAUAAUAACAUAUUUUCGUUGUCAAAUAAAAGUGAGAUAAAAUCACAUUUAAUUUGAAAUUAAUAAACUUCCUUUAUGAGAAUGUACACGAGUUAAGACCAAAAUUUAUUUAGAAAAGAAUUAGAUAGCAGAGUUACCUCAUUUCUAUACUGUAAUAGUUUAAGAUUAAUUCAAGAGUUUGACAUCCUUCCAUUAAUAGUUUAAAUUUGAAGACUUUAUAUAGUAUUUACCUUUGUAAGGAAAACGUAACCAGAGCUUCUGAAGAGUAGUUGUUGAAGUCAAAGAGAGUUUUGGACAUUUGUAGACAAUGCAAUUCUUUAAAUUAUGCAAUUCAAUCUCUUGACUGAAGUUUGAAAGAUGCCUAAAUAUUAAAAGUUUGAGUCUUGGAAGCUCAACUUUAAUCUUUCCUUCUUUACAUCCAACAAGUUCUUAUAGUUCAUUGGCUCCAUUUAUGGCCAGAAGAUGAAGAUUGGGAAAGUCAUUAGAAGCAGAUCCAGAUAAUAAUCUUUUCAACUUGUGACAAUGAUCAACACGCAAUGCUUCUAGUUUUGGGAAGCAUGGUUGAGGAGAAACAAGAUUAGACAAAUUUUUAUCCUCUUCAAUGAUUUGUCUUAAUUCUUUGCAUUUGCUUAUCAUCAAAAGCUUCAACUUUGGUAGGCAUCUUAAAACAGACUUUGGAAAGACUACUUCCAAUUUCGCACAUUCAAUUAUUUCUAGUUCUUCAAGAUUUGGGAAGGCAAUAAUCUCCUCUACUUCAGAGCCUCCAUCUAUAGAAAGAAGAUUUGACUCGUCUUCUUCCAUGAUCUGCUUCAAUUCCAUGCACUUUAUUAUGGUUACUUUCUUCAACUCUGGUAAGCAUCUUACAACAGACUUUGGAAAGAUUACUUCCAACUUUCCACAAUCCGUUAUAUAUAAUGCGGUAAGAUGUUGGAGAGUAAGUGAAUGGUUGGGACCCACCCAAAUAUAUGUCAUUUGAGGUAGAUUAUACAACUCCAACUUCUCUAACCUUAAACUCACUUGUUGCCCAAUCAUUUCAUGUUCACUAAGACAAAAAAUACGUUCUACAUCAGAAUGCGUUAUGUUUAGAGUUUGCAAAGAGGGGAGAUGGUUCUGAAUCUCUUUCGAUCCUGUAUUAAGAGCAAAUGUAAACAUAAACGAAAAAGGAAAAAAUAAUUAAUAAUCAUAAAAAACAAAAGACAAAGACUACCUUCGUACUAGUGAUAAUAGGCUCUCUUGAAUUUGUAGGAAUCGUCAAACAACUAACAGAACCAUAAAAUGGAUACAAACAUCUCCCACACUUAAAGACCUUCAAAGAUGGCCACGUCACAGUGACAGUGUUGGUAGAACAAAUGCUAACAAACUUUGGUAGAAAUUUAAGAGAGAGUAUUUCCAAUGCUGAGAAUUGAAUAUGAAUCUCCUUAUAAUCCUUAUUAGCUUCGUCAUAUUGCCCAAACAUAUAUUUCAAUUGGUAACACCAAGACACUGAGAGCUCUUUUAAGUUAGGAAAGAUAGCUUUCAUAUUCUCUUUGCUAUAUUCAUCAUCAUCAAUGUCUAUAAUGUACUCAAGUCCUUUCCAAACCUCAAUUCUCAAAAUUUCCAACAUCAUCAAUGAUGAAGCAAUGGACAGUUUAAAAAGGUACCUUGCCUUAUCAAAGCCUCUCAGUGCAAUCUCUCUAAUAUUGUGUAUCAUAAUCAAGUUCAAACCAUGUGGUUGUUGUGAAAGACAUUCAAUACUUUCAACCGGCGGAUCAAAAUCUGAGUUUGAUAUCUGCAAUUUAUACACCAAGAUACUUCUUAAACCAAACUAAAUAUUAUCUUAACUCUGAUUAUUAACGUAUUCAAUUUCUAUCAUAUUGUUCGUACAUAUAAAAGUUUAAGCAAUGUCUAUAAUUAUUUAGAUUCACUUGUUUCUUACUAAAAAAUAAUUGAUUUCUAUUUAUCCUAUUAAACAAAAUAAUUUUCCAAAGUUAAUAUAUUCCAAAUAAUCUAUCCCAAUACAUAAAUAUUAAAAAUUUAUGUUGCACCUAUGGUAUGAACUAAGGUCACUAGUAAGUGGCAGGGCAUGUAAGACCAUUUAUUACUUAUAGCACAACAUCAUCUUGAAAUUCAAAUAUUUAGAUUAAUUUUUGUAAAUUCACAAAGAGAGAAACAAUGUAAAUGAUGGUUUUUCAUACCUUGAUUGCCACAGAAUCUGUUUCUGUAGCUUCUGAAGCAUCUGUUGAACAAUUUAUGUUGAAAAACCCAACAUAUCUCCCAAUAUCCAAUGAUAGUGUUCUUAAAGAUGGACAUAUCACAUCAUAACUACCAACAAUGGUUCUGUUCCGAAUAUGAUCAAGUUCAAGUACUUGUAAAGCAGGAAGCUCAAUUUGAGUAUUAUUUCGACUAGAGAAGUCUUUCAAAUCAGCAGCCUCUUUAUUUGUUAUAUCAUUCAAUUCUCCAACAAAAGAAACAGGGAAUAUACCCUCAAAUAAGUCACAUUGACUGAUAUGUAUCUUUUUCAAACUUUGGAAGAUUGAAAUAUCACUCUGACUAUCAUGCUCAUCCUCAACAAUACUUUCCUCCUGAUUUUCAAUGAUCCUUUCGUGAGUUAUUAUAUCCUUUAAACUUUUGCAGUCUUGUAUGAACAAUUCUUCCAAAGAAAUCAGGGUUUUAGCUAUAGAUGCUUUAAUAAUUGAGCCUAACUUCCCACAACAAUUUAUCUUAAGGCUUACAAGGCUGGAUAGAGUUCCUGAAAAGCAAUUAUAAAUUGAAAAAACAUUAGUUUCUAGGAACUAAAACCACAAUCAAGAGAGUCAAAUGAUCAGUUAAUAAUGAUGAAAAUAAUGGCCUUUAAUUGUCUUUAAUUUUAAAUUUAACAAACAACUUCACAUGCAAAUAUAAUUUUCUUUAAUUUUAAAUAAGACCAAUUUUGCUUGUAGUGUAUUAACAAGUUUAAGUAAAAGUAUAUUAGUAGCGUAAAUAAGUUCGAAGCUACAUGUGUCACCAUUUUUAACUAAGCAAUACCAUGGAGACUUACUAAUACACAAUUACACAGUUAAACAUAUUUAUAAAUACAAAAGGAAAUAUGUAACUAAACUAUGGUUCAGAACUGUUGUUGUGGGAAUUAAAGGGCUAUAGAAAUAUGGAUGCUUACCUUCCUCAAUUGUUUCAUAAAGUUCUUCUUUUCUAUCUUGGUCUGUUAAUGGAACAAUAUCUCCAAUUAUUUGAUCUAGCAUGUCGCAUCUUUCUAUCUUGAGCUCUUUCAAUUGACCCAAUCCUCCAACAAUGUUGGCUGGGAAUAUAUGUUUUAAUUCUGGACAGCUAUCUACCUCUACUUCUUGAAGAUUUUGGAAGAUUUGUACUGGAUGCCCUGUGGUGAAUUCAUCUUGACUUUUCUCAUCAUAUGUUAAUAUAUGCUUCAGUUCAUCACAUCCUGAUAUUUUUAAUAUUUUCAAUUGUACCAAAUUUCGAGCACCCACAUAUGUGAAGAGAAAUGUCAACCGUGGACAAUCACUUAAAUACAACUUCUCUAAGUUCUCAAAAGGUCCAUUGGCAGGAAGAAAACAAUUCCAUAUAGCUUUUAGAUUUUCCAUGCUUCCUAUUCUCAACGUAUGCAACUUGGAGAAGAGAGUUACCACCUCACUCGAGUGACUACGAGUGUCAAUCAAACACUUUAUCUCUGCAGAAUCACGUAUCUCCAACUUAUUCAACUCAUUCAAACCUCCUCCUUCAAUUUCAAAUAUAUCAGGGAUCAUAUUUUUUGCACCUCCAUCAAUAUUGCGUACAAAUAGAUCCUUUGCUUUUUUUGCCAAACCCUUUAUUACUUCAUUUGAUAUGUCAAAAUGGUUAAGUAAUAAAGUUCUUCCAUGAAUAUAAAUGUCUCCAUCAUCAAAAUCCUCAAAAUUAUAAGAUGCUAAUACAAUUCCAUACCUUUGCAGUGUUUCGGGAAUGCUAAACGUCUUAAAGAAUUCAAUAUUAUCUUCACUGUUAGCAUCCCAUUCUCCUUUAAUAUCAAUAAUGUACAACUCUUCCAAAAGCGGGAUUCUCUUCAUCACUUCAAAAUUCUUCACUUUAAUGUCACAUUCAUUCAACUCUAACAAUUUUAGUGUAAUUGCAACAUCGGUUUGUGAUUCAGGAAAUGAAGGCAGUGAACAAUAAUAUAACGAGAGACUUUGGAGAUUCUUCAUACCGCCAAAAAAUGAGAAGUCGCUCAAUUCAUAAUUCUCAAUGAGUAGAGAACGAAGAUUUGUUAAUGUUUUGAAAGAUAUUGUUGACAAUCGUGUUUUUCCACCCUCAUCGUUGACAAGAAUCAAAACUUUGAGCGUUCCCAUUCUUUUGAAAAUUUCAUCAAAUCCUUUCAUCUUUGUCCGUAAGUAUAAAAACUCAAGAUUGGAGCAAUCCAAAUUAUUUGGAAAUUUCGCACACCAUAGAUAUCUUGCUGAAUUUUGUUCCACUCUAACAUCUUUCUCCACUUCACACAUGAUCAUCUUAUUCUCAUUUUUUGCUAUUAUGUGGGCCACAUCACGAACUAUGUCAUGCAUUUUGAUACAUUCAUGAUCUGCAUCCAACAAUAAACAACAACUAACAAGCUUAAUUUUAGCUGCAAUCACUUCACUUCUUGCCUCUUCAUAUGAGUCAACUUCUCCAACUACACCUAAUCCUAUUGCAUAUCUUGUUAAAAGUUCAAUUGGAAUUUCGAAAUCUUCAGGAAACACAGAGCACAACAGGAAAAAUGAUUUAGCUUCUUUAGUAUCUAAAUUGUCAUAGCUCAAUUGUAGACACUUGUAGGGAUCAAUCAAACCUCUUUCAAUAUUUAUUGGCUUCGAACGUCUUAAUUUAUUUAAUGCAACACUCCAUACCGUCUCCGCUUUUCCCUUCAAACUACAAGCAACAGCUGCAAUGGCAACAGGCAAUCCUUUACAUUGAUUGGAAAUUAAUCUUCCCAGAUUCUUUAAGGUAUCAGGGGUGUCUUCUGAUAUAAAAGCUUUAUUUUGGAAAAGAGUCCAUGCUUCUUCAUCCGUUAAAAUGGGCAGGUAAAUCCUUCUUUGACAAUCCAUUGAAAUACAAACAUCUUCUAAUCUAGUGGUAAUGAGAAUUUUGCAACCUUUAUGGUGUUGAGAAGAAGGAAUCCCAAUACGACCAAAGUCAAGCUUCUCCCAUACAUCAUCUAGAAUUAUAAAAAUAUUUUUCUCUUCAGUUAAUCUUGAGCACAAUCUUUGGGCUCUCUGCAUUUCUUCAGUUUCUGGAAAUUCAAAUGGCAGUGAACUUGCUAUCUUUUCUUGAAUCCUCCGUACUUCUACCGUACUUGAAACAGGUACAAAAAGAACUUUUUGCUCUGCUUCUACUAAUUUCCUAACCUCCAUUGCUAAGGUGGUUUUACCACAACCUCCCAUCCCAUACAACCCAAUCAUGGAAACAUCAUUAUUUUUCACUGCAUCCAGUAGUUGCUCGGAAGCAGAUUGUCUACUCUCAAAAUUCAUGCAUUUUUCUGAAAGCAUAUCAAGGGUGUUUGAAGGAAGCGUAGCGAUGCGGUCAAAUGGCACAUAUUUUCUACCAUUUUCAAUGAACUUUACGAGGUCCAUAGUUUUAUUUGCUAACUUUUUUUCCAACAUGGUAUCGCCAAAUCCAAUUUGGGAAGUGCCCAAAGCAACAAUGUUUGUGUGUUUUAGCCUCUUCCAGCAACUGAUUGACAUUGUGUACAUCAUUGAUAGCAUCUUCAAGCCACUUGUCCACAAUUUCACUGGGUUUUCUCGCUUGUUUCUUGUCAUGCGUAACAAAUUUUUGGACACUAUCUUUCGUUAUAAUCAAAUUGUUCUCUUCUUCUUCAAGCCUUUUGACGAAAUUUUUAAAGCAACAAGGAUAACAUAAUUGAUUUAAUACUCCACACACUAAAUCUCUUGAAACAGAAGAUGCAAAACCAAAGAGACACUCCAUCAAUUUAUUCCAACAUAUACAACUUUCUUAAACCUGAACAAGAAAAGAUAAACCGCACUUAUAAGUCUUGCAAUUAUAUUUAGAUGUAUUACGUAACAAAAUGAUUUUAAAAUAAUUUAUUUCACGUUUCAGUACAUAAAAACUUAAAAACUUAUCAAGUAUAGCAAUUAAAUUUAAUGUUUUCUAUCCUAAAUAGUCAAUUAUGGGAUACACUAAAAAAAAUCUAAUAACUUUAAUAAUUGCUUUUAAAAUUUUUAGGUUUGAUAAGAAUUUUUAAAUAUAUUUUUCGUCACUUUGAUGAUUCUGUCGAACAUUUUUUUUUUAAAUUAUGUUUUGUAAAUGUUUUACCCUCCCACCAACAAAAAAAAAUAAAACAUCUUCAAACAUAGAAGUAUGUAGAUGAGAAGAUUUGUUAAAUAGACAAAAAAAAAAAAGUGUACCAGUACAAAAUAUCUUUAACCAAAGCUUAAACUAAAACAUGUAUACAAAAUUAACAUUAUACUUUUUUUUGUAAGUUUAAUUUUUCAUAUUUAAAUUUAUAUCCACGUUUUUAGAUUAUAUCAAUUUUAGAUAAAAUGUACAAAUAGAAAAAGAACAAAAAUACAUAAUUCCUUAAAAUGUUAAUUGUGAUAGAGGAUCUGGGAAUUAAGUUAUUAUAUGCAUGAUACGAUUGGUGACUUGAUGAGUAACAAGAGUUCUACACUUUACACCAAAAAUCACUCUAUAAACAAUUCGUUAUACAAAACUAUACUUUCAAGUCUUCAACUUCUGUUACUUGUAUUAAUUCAUUAUAAUGAAAUAUAUUAAUUCACCGUUUUCCUCACUUAAAUAGUUAAGAUCAUGUUUAUCAUAUACCCUCUCUUCAAAAAAUUUCCGUUAAUAUAAUAUAAGACACUUUGCUUUCUUAUCUAUAAUUUAAUUUUCAAUUUUUUUUUUCUUUUAAACACACAAUCUUCACUUUAAUUCCUUAUUUUCUUUAAGACUAAAUUAAUUAUUUUCAACAGUUUUUUUGCAUCUAUUUGGAAAUUUUGAGUGAGGUGGCAUGUGUAUCAUAAUUUAUCCGAACUUCUAUUAUAAGAAAAUGUAACUUAUAUAAGAGGCCAAUUAUAAGAGUAGUUAAUUAUUGACAAAGGGAUUAAUUAAAACUAUUAAGAAUCUUAUGUGAAAGUCAUGAAAACGUCAACUCGUGGUACUGAAUCAAUUGAGGAAAAUACAAACUUCAAUGAUUACAUAAUAUUAAUUAGUUGAUAUGAGUUGUCUUUAAGUGGUUCAAAUGUAUUAAGUCCUAUUAAUGAAAGAUUAAAAAGAGGAGUUCAUCAAGCUUCUUUAGGACUUCUAAAUACAUAAUUUCUUUUUGUUUCAAUUCUAAGUUGGUAUCUGUAAUUUUCGAUGCAUUUUUUGCAGUCUUCUAUCGUCAUCAGUUAUCAUCGUAGUUUUCAUCGAUGGAGUAACCCCAAUACGUUCCUUCCACGUGUCUUGUUUAGAGGUUAUUUGGUGGACUUAGUCACAAAGAGAUUCACUCUUUCUUGUGGAUUGAAGGGUUUUUCUAUAGAACCUAGUUUUUUCCUUUAAAGACUAUUGUUUUGUUUUCAGAAUCUGUUUUUAAAAUGUCUAUACACCUAUCACUUUUUAAAAUCCUACCAUUACUAUUGAAAAACUAAAUGAAAAAAAUUAUUUUUUGUGUUCGGCAUUAUUGAAAUAUAGUUCCUUAGCCAAGGUCAUCAUGACCACGUACCUCUUAAGAAGAUUGAAUAAUGGAAGCCAGUUGAUUUUUAAUUGUGUGUUGUGUUGUGCCAAUAUGUGGAACCGGAGAUUUUGGUUUCCCUUACAACUUUUAAAAUUUAUCACUUCUUUUCCAAAAAAGCUCAAAAUAUUUAUAUUCAAUAGUUUUGACUUUGUAAAUAGACUUGCAUCCCUUGAACAAAUCGAUUAUUCUUCAUGACUGAAGCUUAGUUCGCAAUUGAAGAAAUAAAGAUGUUUUUGGAAUAGUCUUUGGAUUAAAUAAAAAAGAAACUUGACAAUUACUAUAUGCUAAUGAUUCUUCAUUCUCUACGUCUAGACUUUGAUCAUCUUAGAGAUCAACUAUUAACCCAUCAUGAGAUCCUUUCCAUGGAAAGUUUGACCACAAGUCUCUUUAGAGUUCUAAUACCUCAAAGAAAGGAAGUUCAUGAACCUAUGGAACCGUCUGUUAUGGUUGUCACAUGAGGAAGAGAACGUGGAGGACGAUGACGUAUUCAGUGCACAUACUAUAAAAAGAUCGCUCCUAAGAAAAUUGUUUCUCAUAGCAUGAUUUUCCUACCAAGACCGCCCAUGUCUCUAAGGCAGAAAUUGUCGACUCCAAAUUCACUAAUGAAGAAUAACAAGAGUAUCUAAAGUUAAAAUCUAAUAGCUUGGCACAAAUAUCCGAAACUCCAUAUACAUUAACAACUUACAUUUCCCAAUUAAUGGAAGGUCAAAAUUCAUGGGUAAUUGACUCAGAUGAUUUUGAUCACAUGUUUAGUAAUACCUCUUUGUUCUCAUCUCUUUCUUUUAAAAAAUAAACACAUAGUUAAGACUACUCAUAAUGUACUGCUUGGUGCAAAUGUUAUUUCUCAACAUUGGAAGAUGUAAUCCUAACUUCUUAUUAACAAGAUGUCAUCCUCCUCUCUCAAUAAUAAGGUUCCUUGUUUCAUUCUUUUUAUAAAUGACCCUCUUUUUCACAUUUUUCCUCGUCUAUUUGGUUGUGUAUAUUUUAUUCAUGACAUGACUCAAGGGUUAGAUAAACUAUCUACAUAAUUUGGUUGUGCAUACACAUACCCUUUCUUUAAUAUAUGUGAGAAUCACAUAAUUUUAAAAUCCUAUUUUGGCUUUCUAUAUCAUGCAUAUUCGAAAAUCGUUAAGUUUUGCUAUGUGUUUUCACAUUACCAAAAUCACUAAUAGACUAUUCUAGCAAGACUAGUUAUGCCGAUUGUGUCACUAGUUAUAUAGGCCCCUUUUAUUUCCAUGUUUGUUGUCUUUGGUGUGAGGGAUAUGUUCGAAAUCUCACGUCAGAUAGAUAUAAGUACAAAACUUACUUUCAAAGCUGCAAUUUAUGAGAUAUAUGAAUACUCGAUGUCCUUAAUGUGAGGUGUGUUGAAAAUUCUACAUUAGAUAAAGAUAUGCACAAAUUAUAAUUCAUAAGUGAAUGGAAACUCCACCUUAUUAAAUUGAUUUUAUAAGAUUAAGUUACCAUUAAGUACAACUACCUUAAUAUGGUUUUAAAGUUGUUAAAAAUCUAUCUUAGUGAAAUUAAUUAGGUAUUUCAAACCUACCUCUUUACCAUUCCCAAUGUCCUCAAGAGAAUGUAUUAAAAUUUUCACAUUGAUAAAAAAUUAAUCCAAUUUUAUGAUAUAUAUAUAUAUAUAUAUAUAUAUAUAUAUAUAUAUAUAUAUAUAAAAUUAAUUUAAUGAGAUUGAAUUAAUGAGUUAAAUUUCAUUACUUAAAUACUUGUGUUUGACUUAAUAUGAUGAUAAUUAUGAUUAUGUUAUUUUUUUCUUUAUUAAUACAUUAAACUACGGGAAAAAAAUUAAAAAUUAAAAAUACACAUUUAGUUUAAAAUAAUUCAUUGUGGUUAAAAAUUAAUUAGAUUUAAAUAAACUUUUGAAGUAGUUACACUUUUACUCUCUCGUAGAAAGGACAUAAUUAACUCUGUUUAAAGUAAAAUGAUAGUAUUAUGUUUUCUGAAAUUAAACUGAGACCAAACUGCUUUUAAAAUUUUACACAAAUUUUCCAUUUGUAUGUUAAAUAUCACUUUUUUUUUUCAUUACACAUGCACCUUCAUAAAAUUAGUGAGUGUAAGCAUAAUUUGAGAAAGCAUAUUGUAUUUUAGUCAUCCAUAUUUAUUAUUUAGAUGAUGUUAAAAAUGUUCAUCUUCUACAUAUAUGAUGUAUAAUUGAUUAUGGGAUGUGAAAUAAAGAUGAUGUUUGUAAUUUGGAAGUGGAAAAUGAUAAAAGAUUACUUUACCUGAUUUAAGUAAUACGCAGAGAGAGAAUGGAGAAUUGGCGAGAAAGAAACAAGUGAUCAUCCAUUAUUUCAAAGAGACUCUGAAAAGUUAAGUUACUGACAUAAACAUAAACACAAACACAUUAUCUACAAACAUAAACAGUAGUAACACGGAUUAAGGUAGGAAUUGAUAGUGAAUACUCAUCUUGUUUAAAAAGAUAUUUGUAAAAAUGCACCAUGACUUUUUUUCUUCAUACGUAUCGAAUAUAUUUUUUAUUUUAUUUUUUAACUUUUAAAUAAAAUUAUUUAACAACAAAUUUUUAAAGUAUAAAUUUAGCUAAAAUUAUUAAUUUUAAAAUAUAAUUCAAAUAAAAUUAUACGUUGAAUUGUUAAUGCAAAAAAAAAAAAAGUUGAAUUAAAGUAUAAGGUUUAGAACUUAAUUUUUAUGAAUGAAUUUAAUUUUAUAGAUUUAAAUUUAAAACAUUUAAAUAAACAAAACGUUAUGUCAUAUUUACUUAAUCUUUAUUCUUGAUAAAAAAAAAAUUAUAGAUGUAAAGAUCAAAUUUAAAAAAAAAAAAAAAUAUUUUUCUCAUUAAUAACUUUAUUUUGAUAAUUUAAUUUUUAAAAAGAAAAACUGAAAUAAAAUUUAAUAAGAAUUACUAGUAGAUAGAGAAUAUGUAUAUAUUAGAUAGCAUGAUACACAUACAUGUCUUGUGAAUAAAUAGAUAAUUAAAAUUAAUUAUAGGUGUUUGAAUAAAAAUAUUUAAUGUUAUUUUUGAACUUAAUAGGAAUAAAAGUGUAUGAACUCUGUUUAUACUCUUUUGGCUUUGAAGUUAAGUAAAAAAGAGAAAAAACAGAUGUUGUUGAUAUCUAACUAAUUUGGAAGUGGAAAAUGAAGAGAAAUAUGUAAGCUUAGGUUACCUGCUUUAACUAAUAUGCAGAGAGCAAUGGAAGAAUUGGCUAGAAAGAAGUCAUCCAUCACUUCAAACUACAGAGACGCUCAAACGUUAUGUUACUGUUUAAACACAAAAACAAACGGAAACGAUUAGAAUUUCAAAUCAAAACAGAACAUAACUCUACAGUGAUUGCUACCUCCACAGAGACGAAUGAACUCCAUUGCUUGAAUCGACUAUAGAGUAUGCCAUACAAUGCGAUAAGAAUGAAAGCACAGCUUUUUCUAACACUGACAAUUUGUCUGCUUCCUUUUCUUUAUUGAAUUAUUAUUAUUUUAAAAAACCUUUAUCAAUACUUUUUAAUUUUUAUACUUCUUUUCAACAUACUUUUAUUAAUACUCUGCAUGAUUGAGGGAUGUUUUGACUUCCACUUUUAUAUCUUUAAAAGUCUUUGUCGUUUAUUUAUUAUUGUUGUCGGGUGGGGUACUAUUAAAAAGGAGAAUGGACAGAUUUACCAAUUUCAUUUUUGUAAACUUAAUCUUGCAUUACCAUUUGUAGCAGCCAUCUCAACAUUGCCUUCCUUCACAUGUUCUUGAAUGAAAUAAAAGCAUGCACCAAUGUGUAUGCUUCUCUCAUGAUUGAUCUGGCUUUUUCCCCACUCAAUUGCUGACUUGUUAUCCACUCUUAUUAUUGGCCUUUCUUCUUAUUUAAUUUCUAGUUUGCUUAGAAAAUCUUUAAGCCAUACUGAUGUCAUACACCAUGAUGCCAUUUUUCAUUGAGGAAAGGAAAAAAAAAAUUCUGUAACUUUGAAGAAAAAAUGAGAUGCAAUUGAUCACUGAGUUACAAUAGAGAACAAAUUGCUUUUUUUUUAUUUAUAAUAACACUUGUUUUGUCUGUUUUACGAAGAAUAACCUCUUACACAACAAAUAAGAUAGCAAACUUACAACAAAAUAAAACCAUCCAAAUUUGGAAACUAAAUUGAAACUGUAUGAUGAGUGGUAGCUGAUGGGUUGGGUGCACAUUAAGUUCAUUUAGGACCAAGCUACCUUAUUAUUGAAGCAUAAACCACUAGAAAAAAACACAAGACUUUGACCUUAAUAAUAAUGAACAACGAAAACCCUCACGAAGGAUUUGUAGCAGUCAUACGAUUGAGCUCAUAUUGACUACACAUUUGAGAUUCGUCUUUCCUCGCAUUUUCAAGCUCUGUUUUGCCACCUCCAAAGUUUUGAAUGAUUUUAGGAUGCCCUUCACUUUCUUUGGCAAUACGUGCCUCAAUUUGGCUGCGGUUAAUUUCAACAAAAUAUAAUACAAAAGACGUUACCAUCAAACAAGUUGCAAAGCAUUGACUUUCUUAUCACCAUUUUGGAUGAGUUAUAUAAGUACAAGUAGAAGUUAAAAUGUGAUUUUUUUUUUUAUUUUGAGGGAAUUAUUAAGGAAAGAUUAUAUGAAUGUGACCUUAAUCUAACUUAUAUAAAAAAUUAACAUUAUUUUCAAUCUACAACUUUAAGAUAAUAAGUUUAUAAAUUUUUUUUUCUUAUAUGAUGUUUAAUUUUGUUAUUUUUAUCCAAAUAAAGACUUUAAACUCACAUUGAAAGUAUUCCUAACAAUCUCUUCUUCAAGAAUAAGUCCCUGUUAUAAGAUAUAUUUCUAGUGACCUUGGCUUGUACUACAAUUAUUAUGGUGUUGGAUUGUGUUGUUGUCAUAAACAUCUAAGCUAGUUAGCAAGAUGAAUCAACGGUUAUGAUUAAGGGUUUUGGAAAUAUAUCAAAUAUAUAAGAGAUAUUUUGUAGUAAGGAAUUUGUUAUUUUAUUUUAUUCAUAUACUUUAUAUAUAGAGUAAAAUGUAAUAAAAUAUUAAAUAUUCAUUAAAUCUAAAUAAUAACUCAUAAAAUCGAAAGAUUUCCUAAAAGGUAAUUUAAAUAAAAAGAUAAUAUGCAAAUAUUCUGAACAAAAUGUAAGAGUGAUGUUAACAAAUAUAUUAAAUUUAAAUUCCAAUUUCGAAAUUAAGUACUAUUUUGUUUUUCAAUUACCCUCCUCGACAAAUAAUAAAUGAGAAUGGUAACAUCUUUUUUAUUUUGACCAAAUAUGUUGAAAAUCACAAAAGUCUCAUCCAAUACUCAUAAAAAGAUUUAUUAGACUCACAUUUGAGGGUGUUGACUUUUCAACUGUUUGCGAGUUUGUUAAUGAUGUUGCUAUUCUUGGUACUCAAAUUCCUUCUCUGCUUCUUCAUUUCUCAUAGCCACAAUGUUGUCAUUAGAAGCAACACCUAUUUCACCUUCUUUAUCAACCAAGUCAGAACCUUCUUCCAAUCUAAUCUUAGGCCCAUCACUUUCUUCAACAACGUCCCCACUACUAUACCUGUUUAACAAGCUUAAAUUGCUUGCCAGAGAACAAAAAACUCAGAAACAGAUGCUAGCAAUCUUGUAAGAAUUUUAUAUGCCACCAAAUGUAUAAUCAUCCAACAAAAUAGUCAUACCUCUUAGAAUUCUCAUUUAUUUGUCUCCGUGCAAUGUCCUCUCCCAGCUUAGGAUUCCUUGCCACAACACGUUGACGCAUUUUCUCUACCCAUGAACUCUCAAAUCCAACUAAAAUAGCUUCUUCACAUAGUUUAUAGAACUCUUUUUCUCUUUGAGGAAUAACACUAUGGACACUUUCCUUCUGAAGGAAAGACAACAUAUCUGCCAAAAUUUUCAACCUCCAAGCUUGAAAACGAUCACUAAACUUCUUGGAAGCAUUCCAGAGAUGAGGAUAUGAAGUAAUUGCCUCCACCAGAAGAGAAAUCUGUGCAUCAUCCAGAUCAACAAAAUGUUUAUAUGCUCCCAAUCUUGUACGGAUAUCUGCAGAAGAAGCUGUAAGAAGUUUGAGAGGGUGAUAUGGAAAUAAUAGGAUGGAAAUGAGAAAAUAAGAAAUAAGAAACCUGAAGAAAUGUCAAUGUUGUUGUUAGGAACAAAAUCUAUUCCCUCUUGUUUAUGCAAAAGGUUCAGCCCUUCUUGUACUUGGAUUCCUUGGCUUGCCACUAUUCCUGGCUUGCCUUCAGUCAUCUUAUCAUCUUGUUCAACUACCUUGGAAUCUAGUGCAAGUAUGUCCUCGCCAUCUCCAAUGCUAGUGUCUUCAACUCCAGUUGAUGAAGAUUCAGUGCUCUCAUUUCCUUCGUCCUCAAUCUCCUGUGUAUUAAAAAUUGAAAAAGUACGAUUGAGGGAGUGGCUCUAAAGUUUGAAAGGAGCCCUAUAUAUUAAUAUUGCUUCUUCAAGUGCAUAUUGAUAUGGAAAACCUCCUUCAUUGUUUCAUUCCUCAUACACCAACUUUCUUUUAAAAUAUUGCACAAGCAAGUUAGGAGUUAGUCUUUAUAUUACAAAAUCAAGGGACAACAAUAAUUUUCUUUGUUCAUUCCUUCGCUUUGAGUGAUCAACCAUUCCUUUCCUGUUAAAUUACUUAGCAGAUGUACAUUUGUUGGUAAUUAAUUAAGGUGGCUUCUGUUGAUCUACCAAAGAUGAUUUACUUUAAGAAUUUUGAUGGUACAUUAAUUUUAAUGGAUCACAAUGAUUUGUUCUAAUAAAAAUGAGAUCAAAUUUAGUACUUAAAUUAAAAAAAAAAAAAGUUAUUCUAAUAAUGAGACUGAAUACGCUAUUAAUUUUUUUUUAUUGUAUUCAUAUUCAUAGAUUUUUUCGUUCUGACCUGUGAUGAAGUGAAGUCCCUGUCGCUACCAUUAAUAGUUGAAUCUUCAUAUAUGAAUCUUAAUAUGCAUUGGAAUUCCCAACUAUCAAGUUCUGUGUUUAUGAAAUCUGUACAAAAUAAUUGACUGUAAUAGGGCAAAUAAAAUGUGAAUAUACCUAAAAUUCUUAAAAUUAUUUGAGUAUAAUAAUAUAUUUUCGUUGUUGAAUAGAAAUGAGAUAAAAAUUCCAUUUAAUAAUUUAAGAUUAAUUCAAGAUGUUGACAUCCUUCCAUUAAUAGUUUAAAUUUGAAGAUUUUAUAUAUUAUUUACCUUUGUAAGGAAAAUCUUGACGGAGCUUCUCAAGAGUUCUUGUUGAAGUCAAAGAGAGUUUUGGACAUUUGUAGACAAUGCAAUUCUUUAAAUUAUGCAAUUCAAUCUCUUGAUAGAAGUUUUCCAGAUGCAUCAAUAUUAAAAGUUUGAGUCUUGGAAGCUCAACUUUAGUCUUUCCUUGUUUACAUCCAACAAGCUCUUCUAGUUCAUAGGCUCCAUUUAAGACCAGAAGUUGAAGAUUGGGAAGGUCAUUAGAAGAAGAUUCAGAUAAACAACUUUUCAACUUGUGGCAAUCAUCAAUAAGCAAUGCUUCUAAUUUUGGGAAGCAUGGUUGAGGAGAAACAGGAUUAGACAAAUUUUUAUCCUCCACACCCCCUUCAAUGAUUUGUCUUAAUUCUUUGCAUUUGCUUAUCAUCAAAAGCUUCAACUUUGGUAGACAUCUUAAAACAGACUUUUGAAAGACUACUUCCAAUUUCGCACAUUCAAUUAUUUCUAGUUUUUUAAGAUUUGGGAAGGCAAAAUAAUUGUUUGAAGGUUCUUUAUCACAUCCAAUAAUCUCCUCUACUUUAGAGCCUCCAUCUAUAGAAAGAAUAUUGGACUCGUCUUCUUCCAUGAUCUGCUUCAAUUCCAUGCAUUCUGAUAUGGUUAAGCACUUCAACUCUGGUAAGCUUCUUAAAACACAAGAAGGAAAGAUUACUUCUAACUUUCCACAAUCCCUUAUUUCUAAUGUGGUAAGAUGUUGGAGAGUAAGUGAAUUGUUGGGACCCACCCAAAUAUAAGUCAUUUGACUUAGAAAUUCCAAAGACAAAUACUUUAACCUUAAACUCACUUGUUGUCCAAUCAUUUCAUGUUCAUUAAGACAAAAAAUAUGUUCUGCAUCAGAACGCUUUAUGUAUAGAGUUUGCAAAGUGGGGAGAUGGUUCUGAAUCCCUUUCGGAUCCUGUAGGACAUUAAGAGCAAAUAUAAACAUAAACGAAAAAAGAAAUUAUAAUUAAUAAUCAUAAAAAAAAGAGACAAAACUACCUUCGUACUUGUAGGCUCUCUUGAAUUUGUAGGAAUCGUCAAACAACUUACAGAACCAUAAAAUGGAUACAAACAUCUGUAACACUCAAAGUCCUUCAAAGAUGGCCACGUCACAGUGACAGUGUUGGUAGAACAAAUGCUAACAAAGCUUGGUAGAUAGUUAAGAGAGAGUAUUUCCAAUGCUGAGAAUUGAAUAUGAAUCUCCUUAUAAUCCUUAUUAGCUACGUCAUAUUGCCCAAACAUAUAUUCCAAUCCAUAACACCUAUCCACUGAGAGCUUUUUUAAGUUAGGAAAGAUAGCUUUCAUAUACUCUUUGCCAUAUUCAUCAUCAGUGUCUAUAAUGUACUCAAGUCCGCCACAAUGCUCAAUUCUCAAAAUUUCCAACAUCAUCAAUGAUGAAGCAAUGGACAGUUUAAAAAGGUACCUUGCCUUAUCAAAGCCUUUCAGUGCAAUCUCUCUAAUAUUGUGUAUCACAAUCAAGUUCAAACCAUGUGGUUGUUUUGAAAGACACUCAAUACUUCCAAUCGGGGGAACAAAAUCUGAGUUCGAUAUCUGCAAUUUAUACACCAAGAUACUUCUUAAACCAAGCUAAAUAUUAUCUUAACUCUGGUUAUUAAUGUAUUCCAUUUCUAUCGUAUUGUUGGUAUAACUAAGUUUAAGCAAUGUCACUAAUUUUUUAGAUUCACUUCUUUCUCCGCAAAAAUAAUUGCUUUAUGUUUAGCCUAUUAAGAGAAAGUUGAAAAGAAAAUAAUUUUCCAAAGUUAAUCUAUGUUGAAAUGUAAAUUGAUUUUGUGUUUUGGGCCUAUAAGAUAAAAAUCCAAGAUUAUAAAAGGACCAAAUAGAAUUCUAGAAAAUCCUAUCUACAAGGAUUCUAGAAUGAUGUACAAAAAUAUCUAGGGAUGUUUAUCUAUAAGAUGUCCGUAUAUAAGUUUAAAAUAAUAUGAAUGUUUUAGAAAUCUCUAAAGAAUGAAUAAUGACCCUUAGAUUAAUGUUGUGGAGGCAAGAUCCUAACCAUUGGUUAAGGAAGUACUCCUAGUAUAAAUAGGGGUGAUUGAAUCAUUUGUAAUCAAGCCAAAAAAAAAAAAAAUUAGAAGCAUUCAAUAUAACAAGUCUUUCCUUCUCACAAAAUCUUCCAACCUCUCCCAAUUUUUAAACACUUCCUUCAAGCCUCUAAAAUUUCCUCCCAACAAAAUCAAGAGCCAUAAGAUCAUCAUAGAAAUGGCAAAUACCAAAGUUCCCUUUCAAGUCCCGAUACUCACAAAGACCAACUACGACAAUUAGAGCUUAAGGAUGAUAGCUCUGCUUAGUGCACAUGAUGUGUGGGAGGUGGUCGAGAACGGGCACACUAAGCUAGAGAAUGUAGACAGUCUUUCUGAAGCUCAAAAAGAGAGUUUGAGAGACACAAGGAAGAUAGAAAAGAUAACUCUCUCUCUCUAAUCUAUCAAGGAUUAGACGAAGAUACUUUUGAGAAGAUUUUCGAAGUCAUGUCAGCCAAGGAAGCAUGGGAGAAGCUUAAGAUCUCUUUCAACGGAGCAGAUCAAGUCAAAAAGGUACUUCUUCAAACUUUGAGAGGAGAGUUUGAAGUAUUUCAUAUGAAAGAAGGUGAACUAGUCUUCGAUUACUUCUCAAGAGUUUUGACAGUUACUAAUCAACUAAAAAGAAAUGGUGAGAAGAUAAAUGAUGUAAGAAUUAUGGAGAAAGUUCUUAGAUUAUUAGAUCCAAAGUUUGAACAUAUUGUCACCAUUACCGAAGAAACCAAAUACUUGGAGGCCAUGUCAAUAGAGAAACUUCUUGCUACGUUGCAAGCUUAUGAAGAAAAGAAAAAGAAGAAGGAAGAGAUCGUGGAGCAAGUCCUCAAGGCACACGUUGAUUAAAGAAAAGAAGAAAAUGCAUACAACUAACCAAGACGAAGUUAUAGUCAAGAACAAGGACGAGGGCAUGCAUAUGGAUGUGGACAAGGAUGAAGGCCUUACAACAAUAACCAAAGAGGAGAAAGAUCUAACAGAGGUCGUGGGAGAGGAAAUCUUAAUUCAAGGUAUGACAAGUCACGAAUCAAGUGUUACAAUUGUGAUAAAUUUGGACAUUAUGCUUCUGAAUGUAGAACCCCCAACAAAAAUAAAGUCGAAGACAAAGCCAACUAUGCUGAAGAAAGGUGUCAAGAAGGUGGUACCUUGCUACUAACUUACAUGGGCCAAGACAGUGGAGCAAGUAACCAUAUGUGUGGGAAAAGAAGCAUGUUCGUGGAGCUUGAUGAAUUAGUAAAGGGAAAUGUGGCUUUCGGAGAUGAAUCAAAGGUGGCGGUGAAAGGAAAAGAUAAUGUCCUCAUCCGACUAAAGAAUGGAGAACAUCAAUUUAUUUCCAACUAUAUUAUGUGCCAAACAUGAAGAACAACAUCUUAAGCUUAGGACAACUUUUAGUGAAAGGUUAUGAUAUUCAACUUAAGAAUAAUAACCUUUCUAUAAAAGAUAAUAAAAGUAAAUUCAUUGCGAAGGUCCCAAUGACAAGAAAUAAAAUAUUUGUGCUCAACAUUCUAAGUGAUGGCCCACUAUGUCUCAAGAUGUGCUACAAAGACCAAUCAUGGCUUUGACAUCUUCAAUUUGGCCAUCUUAGUUUUAAAGGGUUAAAGUUGUUCUCCAAGAAGGCAAUGGUGAGAGGGUUACCUUGUAUUACUCAUCCAAACCAAGUUUGUGAAGGAUCUCUACUUGGAAAACAAUUUCUAUUGAGUUUUCCAAAUUGAUAACGGUAAUUCUUACCAUUAUCUAUGGUGCAAUUUUCUUGCCAAAUCAACACUCCUAAAGCUUGAAACACGCUUAAUCCUCUCUUUAAUAUAACUUUGUGAAUAAACUCAGCUUAGGUUACACACAUUAGUUUUCAUCUCUAAUUUCCUCGAAUUUUGUAGGAACUUGGAGUACUUUGGAAAGGCAUUCAAGUUAUCAAGAGUGGAGAACCAAAGCAGAAUCAGAAAGAAGAAGUUUGGAAGAAGUUCACCUGGAGAACUGGCACCGGGCGCCACCCAUAUCACGUUGGGCGCCAGAUUUCACUUUUUUCAGGGAGCAUUUCACGUUAGGCGUCACCAACAUGGAGCUGGGCGUGAAAACUCACUGUUUUCAAUCAACAUUUCACGUUGGGCGCCACCUAUAUGACGUUGGGCGCGACUUUUACUGGUAUGUCUCCCUGCAACUAUAAAAGGCCGACACUCGUCUAGGGUUGGAUCUUCUUGGCGGCUGGAGCUCAGAAAGACGUUUUUGGACCUCUUGGAGCUGGUUUUGGACUGUGGGAGCUCUCCUUUCCUUCUCCUUAGGUCUCCAUCUUCACCAUUUCCUUCCAUUGUAAGCUCAAGCUCUCCAUUGUAAUGGAGAGCUAAGUACAUUUUGUUGGAGAGUGAUGUAAAUGAAGAACCUCAUUUGUAAAUGCACUUGUUUUAAAUGGAAAAAUGCUUCUUUCAUUACUUGUUGGUGUUUAUGUCUUUUGCUUAAUGCUUGUUAUGACUUGAUCAACCAUGGCAUGAUUUUAGGGUUUACUUAAUGUUGGGAAAUAUUGUGUGAACCUUGAACUAGACUAAACACCUAAGGGAAAUAGUGUCUAGGGAUAGAGCUAGGACCUUUAGUUGCCUUAAACUUCUUUUCUUAAUGCGGGUGAACUUGUUGGGUUGUCAAGGGAUUGGGAUGUAACAAGUGAACCUAGGCUUUCUCACCAAGGGAUUGGGUUUGAGUAACUUAGCUAGUUGACAAGAGCAAGUUAAUGAAGAAGAGUNGUAUAGUGCAUUUGCAUAGGAGGGUCUUAGUUGAAAUCAUUCUCCAACAUAUCCAUUCCAUAUCAUCAUCAAUCAUUUCAUUUUCUAGUGUUUUGGUCCCAAGAAUUUCAACCCUUUAACUUUUGCAUCAUAUUUACUUUCAAUGCACAAAUUCACACAAAAAAGGGAACCAUUCUUUAGCUUAAACUAGUUAGUAAUUAUACGAGGGUAAAGUAAUACUGAAGUCUCUUGGGAAACGAUAUCCGGUCUUACCGGUUUUACUACUUGAGCGACUUGACACACUUGCCAAAGUCUCAACACAAAUGAGUCGGACUCAAGAGCUCAAAGCCAUUAAAACUCAUACACGCAUAUAUGUGUGGCCCAAUCAAGCCAAGAUCACUCACUAAGAGUAGUUAUUUCCUUCUAUUCAUUGAUGAUUUUUCAAGUAAAACAUGAAUAUAUUUCUUAAAAGAAAAAUCAGAAGUACUCGAGAACUUUAAGAAGUUUAAAGCCCAUGUUGAGAAGGAUAGUGGCCUUAUGAUCAAAGCUUUGAGAUCUGAUCAUUGAGAAGACUGAUCAUUAAGAAGAUUUCUCAUCAAAAGAGUUUCAGAAGUAUUGUGAAGAUAAUGGAAUUAGACGUCACUUGACAGUACUAAGAUUCCCUCAACAAAAUGGAGUGGCAGAAAGGAAGAAUAGAACAAUCCUAGAGAUGGCAAUGAGCAUUCUUAAAAGCAAAACACUUCCAAAGGAGUUUUGUGCUAAAGUUGUUGCAUGUGCAGUCUAUCUAACCAACCACUCUCCAAUAAGAAGCAUUAGUGGAAAAACACCAUAAGAAGCAUAUGGAGCGGAAGAAAGUCAAAUAUUUCUCAUCUUAGAGUCUUUGGAAGCAUAUCUCAUGUCCAUGUACCAGAUGAGAAAUGAAGUAAGCUUGAUAACAAAAGUGAAAAGUACAUCUUCAUUGAUUAUGAUGCCAACUCCAAAGGGUACAAACUCUACAAUCCUGAUACAAGGAAAACAAUCAUCAUUCAAAAUGUAGUAUUUGAUGAAGAAGGAGAAUGUGAUUUGUUGACAAACUGUGAGGACCAUACCUUCUUCCCGUGCAUUAAAGAAGAUGAUGUGGAACAACAAUAACAACCGUAAGAGGCACCUGCUACUUCACCUGCUUCAUCAGAUACAACCCCUCAAAAGAUGAAAGUUCAAGUGAAAGACCUCCACGUUUUUGAAGUCUCCAAGAAGUCUAUGAGGUAAUUGAAAAUCUAGACAAUGUUAACUUAUUCUGUCUAUUUGCAGACUGUGAGCCCAUGAACUUCCAAGAAGCAAUUGAAAAGAAGAGCUGGAGAAAUGCGAUGGAUGAAGAGAUCGAGGGAAUAAAGAAGAAUGAUACAUGGGAGCUAGUAUCGCUUCCAAAAGGGCAUAAAGCAAUUUGUUUCAAGUGGGUCUACAAAGCAAAGAAGGACUACAAAGGAGAAGUUCAGAGCUACAAAGCAAGAUUAGUGGCGAAAGGCUACAGUCAAAGGGAUGGCAUCGACUUUGACGAGGUAUUUGCUCUAGUUGCUCGGCUAGAAACGAUUAGACUUAUUAUAUCAUUAGCAGCUCAGGAUAAUUGGAAGAUACAUCAAGUGGAUGUCAAAUCCGCCUUCUUAAAUGGAGUUCUUGAAGAAAAAGUCUACAUUAAGCAUCCACAAGGAUAUGAAGUCAAAGGUGAAGAAGACAAUCUUGAAAUUAAAGAAAGUACUUUAUGGGUUGAAACAAGCCCCUAGAGCUUGGAAUGUUCGAAUUGACAAGUACUUCAAAGAAGCGAAUUUCAUCAAGUGUCCAUAUGAGCAUGCACUCUAUAUCAAAGGUCAAGGCAAAGAUAUUUUGAUUGUAUGCUUGUACGUCGAUGAAUUGAUUUUUAUAGGGAACAAUCCAAGCAUGUUUGAGGAAUUCAAGAAGGAUAUGACCAUGGAAUUUGAAAUGAUCGACAUGGGACUAAUGGCAUAUUAUCUCGGAAUUGAAGUAAAGCAAGGAAAUGAAGGAAUUUUUAUUACUUAAGAAAGCUAUGCCAAAGAGCUCCUUAAGAAGUUCAAGAUGGAUGAUGUUAAUCCAAUUGGCACUCCUAUGGAAUGCGACAUCAAGUUGAGUAAGGAUGAAGAGGGAGAAAAAAAGUGGAUCUAACCCUCUAUAAAAGUCUUGUUAGAAGUUUGUAUUAUUUAACUUGUACAAAACCAAACAUUCUCUAUGUUGUUGGAGGUGUGAGUUGCUACAUGGAAGCUCCAACAACUACUCACUUCAAGUCUGCAAAGAGGAUUCUUCAAUAUAUCAAAGGUACAACAAGCUUUGGCCUAUACAACUCCAUUUCUAACAAUUACAUGCUUUUUGGAUAUAAUGAUAGUGAUUGAAGUGGAUAUAUGGAUGAUCGAAAGAGCACAAGUGGAUUUUGUUCUACAUGGAGGACACAACCUUUACUUGGAUGUCCAAGAAGCAGCUUAUUGUCACUCUUUCUACAUGUGAAGCAGAGUAUGUAUCUAUUAUACUUCAUAUGUUUGUCAUGUUUUGGCUACGAAACCUAUUGAAGGAGUUAAGCUUGCCACAAGUGGAGCCAACAAAGAUUUUUGUGGACAACAAGUCGGCAAUAACUUUAGCAAAAAAAUCCAGUCUUCCAUGAUUGAAGUAAGCACAUCCACACCCAUUACCAUUACAUAAGAUAAUGCAUAAACAACAACGAUGUGCAAAUGAAAUACGUGAAGACACGUGAUAAAGUAGCAGAUUUCUUCACCAAACCACUAAAGAAGGAAGUCUUUAUGAAGUUGAGAAGUUUGCUUGGAGUACAAAAUCAAGUUUAAGAGGGGGUGUUGAAAUGUAAAUUGAUUUUGUGUUUUGGGCCUAUAAGAUAAAAGCCAAAGAUUAUAAAAGGCCUAAAUAGAAUUCUAGAAAAUCCUACCUAGAAGGAUUCUAGAAUAAUGUACAAAAAUAUCAAGGGAUGGUUAUCUAUAAGAUGUCCCUUGAUAAGUUUAGAAUUAUAGGAAUGUUUUAGAAAUCUCGAAAGAAUGAAUAAUGACCCUUAGAUUAGUGUUGUGGUGGCAAGAUCCUAACCAUUGAUUAAGUAGGUGUUAAUAGUAUAAAUAGGGGUGAUUGAAUCAUUUGUAAUCAAGACAAAAAUAAAAAAUAGAAACACUCAAUACAACAAAGUCUUUCCUUCUCUCAAAAUCUUCCAACUUCUCCCAAUUUUUAAAUACUUCCUCUAAGCCUUUAAAAUUUCCUCCCAACAUUUAAUUCCAAAUAAUCUAUCCCAAUACUUAAAUAUUAAACAUUUAUGUUGCACCACCUAAGGUAUGAAUUCAGGUCACUAGUAAGUCGUAGCAGGUAAGACCAUUUAUUACUUUUAGUAAAUGAUCUUGAAACUCAAAUAUUUAGAUUAUUUUUUGUAAAUUUACGAAGAGAGACAAUGUAAAUGAUGGUUUUUCAUACCUUGAUUGCAAAAGAAACAGGUAUACCCUCCAAUAAGUCACAAUUACUGAUAUGUAGCUUUUUCAAACUUUGGAAGAUUGAAAUAUCACUCUGACAAUCAUGCUCAUCCUCAACAAUGCUUUCCUCCUGAUUUUUAUUGAUCCUUUCGUCAGUUAUUAUAUCCUUCAAACUUUUGCAGUGUUCUAUGAACAAUUCUUCCAAAGAAGUCAAGGUCUUAGCUAUAGAUGCUGUAAAAAUUGAGUCUAACUUUCCACACCAUCUUAUCUUAAGACUUGUAAGGCUGGAUAGAGUUCCUGAAAAGAAAUUAUAAAUAAAUAAAUAAAAAUGGUUUCUAGGAACUAAAACCACAACCUAGAGCGUCAAACUAUCAGUUAAUAAGUUUGAAGCUACAUGUGUCACCAUUUUUAACUCAACAAUACCAUGCAGACUUACUAAUACAUGCUUAAACAUAUUUAGAAAUGAGAGAAGAAAAAUAUACCUGGGCUUUGCUUCACAACUGUUGUUGUUGGAAUUGAAGUGUUAUAUAAAUGUGGAUGCUUUCCUUCCUCAACGAUUUCAUCAAGUUCUUCUUUUCUAUCCUGCUCUGUUAAUGGAACAAUAUCUCUAAUUAUUUGUUCUAGCUUUUCACAUUCUCUUAUCUCGAGAACUUUCAAUUGAGUUAAGCCUCCUACAAUGUUGGCCGGAAAUAUAUGUUUUAAUCUUCCACAUCUAUUUAUCUUUACACGCUGAAGAUUCUGGAAGAUUUGUACAGGAUGCCCGCUGGUGAAUUCAUCUUCACUUUUCUCAUCAUAUGUUAAUAUAUGCUUCAGUUCAUCACAUCUUGAUAUUUUUAAUAUUUUCAAUUUUACCAAAUUUCGAGCAAGCACAUAUGUGAAGAGAAAUGUCAACCGUCCACAAUCACGUAAAUCCAACUUCUCUAAGUUCUCAAAAGCUCCAUUGGCAGGAAGAAAACAAUGCCAUAUAACUCUUAGGUUUCUCAUGUUCUUAAUCCCCAGCGUAUGCAACUUGGAGAAGAGAGUUACCACCUCACUCGAGUGACUACUAGUGUCAAUCAAACAUUCUAACUCUUUAGAAUAACGUAUCUCCAACUUAUUCAGCUCAUUCAAACCUCCUCCUUCAAUUUCAAAUAUAUCAGGGAUCAUAUUUUUUGCACCUCCAUGAAUAUUUCGUACAAAUAGAUCCUUUGCUUUUUUUGCCAAACCCUUUAUUACCUCAUUUGAUAUGUCAAAAUGGUUAAGUAAUAAAGUUCUUCCAUAAAUGUAAAUAUCUCCAUAAUUAAAAUGGUUAAAUUUACGGGACCCUAACACAAUUACAUACCUUUGUAGUGUUUCGGGAACGCUAAACGUCUUAAAGAAUUCAAUAUUGUCUUCACUGUUAGCAUCCUGCCAUUCUCCUUCAAUAUCAAUAAUGUAUAACUCUUCCAAAAGUGGGAUUCUCUUCAUCACUUCAAAAUUCUUCACUUUAAUGUCACAUUCAUUCAACUCUAACAAUUUUAAGGUUGUUAGUGUAAUUGCAACAUCGCUUUGUAAUUCAGGAAAUGAAGGUAGUGAACAACUAAAUAACUCCAGACUUUGAAGAUUCUUCAUAUCGCCUAAAAAUGAGAAGUUGCUCAAUUCAUAAUUCUCAAUGAAUAGAUAACGAAGAUUUGUUAAUGUUUUGAAAGUUAUUGUUGACAAUGGUGUUUCUUCAUCCUCAUCGUUGACAAGAAUCAAAACUUUGAGCGUUCCCAUUCUUUUGAAAAUCCCAUCAAGUUCUUUCAUCUUUGUCACUAAGUAUAAAAACUCAAGAUUGGAGCAAUCCAAAUCAUUUGGAAAUUUCACACACCAUAGAUAUCUUACUGAAUUUUGUCCCACUAUAACAUCUUUUUCCUCUUCACAAGUUAUCAUCUUAUUCUCAUUUUUUGCUAUUAUGUGGGCCACAUCACGAACUACGUCAUGCAUUUUGACACAUUCAUUAUCUGCAUCCGACAAUAAACAACAAGUAACAAGCUUAAUUUUAGCUACAAUCACUUCACUCCUUGCCUCUUCAUAUGAGUCAACUUCUCCAACUACACCUAAUCCUAUUGCAUAUCUUGUUAAAUCCUCAACUUGAAUUUUACAAUCUUUAGGAAACACAGAACACAACAGGAAAAGUGAUUUAGCUUCUUUAGUAUCCAAAUUAUCAUAGCUCAACUGCAAGCACUUGUAGAGAUCAAUCAAACCUCUUUCAAUAUUUAUUGGCUUAGAAUGUCUCAAUUUAUUCAAUGAAACACUCCAUACCGUCUCAGCUUUUCCCUUCAAACUACAAGCAACAGCUGCAAUCGCAACCGGCAAUCCUUUACAUUCAUUGCAAAUUAAUCUUCCCACAUCCUUUAAGGUAUCAGGGGUGCCUUCUGUUACAAAUGCUUUAGUUUGAAAAAGAGUCCAUGCUUCUUCAUCCGUUAAAACUGGCAAGUAAAUCUUUUUUUGACAAUCCAUUAAAGUACAAACUGCUUCUGAUCUACUGGUAAUAAGAAUCUUGCAGCCUUUAUGGUAUUCAGAAGAAGGAAUCCCAAUACGACCAAAGUCAAGCUUUUCCCACACAUCAUCUAGGAUUAUAAAAAUAUUUUCCUCUUCAAUUAAUCUUGAGCACAAUAUUUGGGCUCUCUGCAUUUCUUCAGUUUCUUGAAAUUCAACUUGCAGUGAACUUGCUAUUUUUUUUUGAAUCCUCCCAACUUCCACUGUACUAGAAACAGGUACAAAAAGAACUUUUUCAAAAAGAUGCUCUGCUUCUACGAACUUCCUAACCAUCAUUGCUAAUGUAGUUUUACCACAACCACCCAUUCCAUACAACCCAAUCAUGGAAACAUCAUUAUUUUUCACUGCAUGUAGUAGUUGGUCUUGUGCAGAUUGUCUACUCUCAAAAUUCAUGUAUUUUUCUGAAAGAAUGUCAAGGGUGAACUCACUGCUACCAGUAAUAGUUGAAUCUUCAUAUAUGAAUCUUACUAUUCUUGUAAAUUCCGAACAAUGAAAUCCAGUAUUUAUGAAAUCUGUACAAAGAUAUAUAUAUUAGGAAAUUCACUUGAAAAUGAAAUACAUAACAGAAGGGAAUACAACCUCAACUUUUCAUGAUGGAUCGUGAUAUCAUUGUAAUUAAAAAAAGAUAUAAAAAGUUUCAUGAUAGGAUUUUUUUUUUUAUCACCCAUCAUAAUAAAGUGGCGACUUUACGUCUUAAGGAUGUACCCUUUACAACAGUGUUCUUCGUAACUGAAAUUACUCGAAUGUAAAAUUAAAAUUCUUCCAGCAAAAGUUAAGUUAAUUUGUUUAUUUUAAAAAAUUAUGGUGAGUACUUGGUUGGGAAUUUGAAACCGUCUUCUCUGAGUGAAAUAAUGAAUUUGUAAAUCUAUUUUCUUUAUGAUCAUAUUUUAUGAACGAAUUAGCAAGUUUAGUUGGGGAUUGUGGAGAUAGAAUAAGCGUAUUCAAAACAUUUAAAUAUAACAAUUAUUUAAAAUUUCUUGACAUCAUAAAAAAAAUAUAUUAAAAAUAAUAAAUUGUAAUAGUACACUAUGAUAGAUUAAAUUACAUACAUAACUAAAUUUUAAUAGUGCAAACAAAAUGUAAAAAUUACUAAAAAAGAGUUAAUUUCUUAAAAUAAUUUGAGUCUAAUAAUAUAUUUUCGUUGUUGAAUAAAAGUUACAUUUAAUUUGAAACUCGUGUAAACUUUUGAGAUUGUAUACGAGUUAAGAUCAAAAUUUAUUUAGAGAAGAAUUAGAUAGCGAGUUACCUUAUUUCUAUACUGUAAUAGUUUAAAUUUGAAGACUUUAUAUAGUAUUUACCUUCGUAAGGAAAAUCUAGCCAGAGCUUCUCAAGAGUUGAUGUUGAAGUCAAAGAGAGUUUUGGACAUUUGUAGACAUUGUAAUUCUUUAAAUUAUGAAGUUCAAUCUCUUGACGGAACUUUGAAAGAUGCCUAAAUAUUAAAAGCUUGAGUCUUGGAAGCUCAACUUUAUUGUUUCCUUGUUUACAUCCAACAAGUUCUUCUAGUUCAUUGGCUCCAUUUAUGGCCAGAAGAUGAAGAUUGGGAAGGUCAUCAGAAGCAGAUUCAGAGAAUAAUCUUUUCAACUUGUGACAAUUAUCAACAUGCAAUGCUUCUAGUUUUGGGAAGCAUGGUUGAGGAGAAUGAAUAUUAGACAAAUUUUUAUCCCCUUCAAUGAUUUCUCUUAAUUCAUUGCAUUUUCUUAUCACAAGAACAUUCAACUUUGGUAAGCAUCUUAAAACAGAAUUUGAAAAGAUUACUUCCAAUGAGUCACAUUCAAUUAUUUCUAGUUUUCCAAGAUUUAGGAAGGCAAAAUAAUUUUUUGAAGGGCACGUCACAGUGAGAGUGUUGGUAGCAUAAAAGCUGACAAAACUUGGUAGUCUCGAAAGAUGGAGCGUUUCUAAUGGUGAGAAAUGAAUAUGAGUCUCCUUGUAAUCUUGAUUAGCUACGGGAUAUUCGCCAAUAUAUUUCAACUGGCCACAAUCGCGCACUGAGAGCUCUCUUAAGUUAGGGAAGAUAGCUUUCCUAUUCUCUUUGCCAUAUUCAUAAAGAAAUGUCAACCGUGGACAAUCACGUAUCUCCAACUUAUUCAACUCAUUCAAACCUCCUCCUUCAAUUUCAAAUAUAUCUUUUGCACCUCCAUGAAUAUUUCCUACAAAUAGAUGCUUUGCUUUUUUUGCCAAACCCUUUAUUACCUCAUUUGAUAUGUCAAAGUGGUUAAGUAAUAAAGUUCUCCCCUCAAUGUACAUAUUUCCAUCAUUAUAAUUAAAGUUAUCAGACCCUAAUACAAUUCCAUACCUUUGCAAUGUUUCGGGAAUGCUAAACGUCUUAAAGAAUUCAUUAUUAUCUUCACUGUUAGCAUCCCAUUCUCCUUCAAUAUCAAUGAUGUACAACUCUUCCAAAAACGGGAUUCUCUUCAUCACUUCAAAAUUCUUCACUUUAAUGUCACAUUCAUUCAACUCUAACAAUUUUAAGCUUGUUAGUGUAAUUGCAACAUCAGUUUGUAAUUCAGGAAAUGAAGGCAGUAAACAAUAAUAUAACUCUAAACUUUGAAGAUUCUUCAUGCCGCUUAAAAAUGAGUAGUCGCUCAAUUCACAAUUUAAAAUGGAUAGACGUCGAAGAUUUGUUAAUGUUUUGAAAGAUAUUGUUGGCAAUGGUGUUUUUCCAUCACCAUCGUUCUCAAUAAUCAAAACUUUGAGCAUUCCCAUUCUUUUGAAAAUCCCAUCAAAUUCUUUCAUCUUUGUCCGUAAGCAUAAAAACUCAAGAUUUGAGCAAUCCAAAUCCUUUGAAAUUUUUGCACACCAUAGAUAUCUUAUAGAAUUUUGUUCUACUGUAACAUCUUUUUCCAUUUCACACUUGAUCAUCUUAUUCUCAUUUUGUGCUAUGAUGUGGGCCACAUCACGAACUAUGUCAUGCAUUUUGACACGUUCAUGAUCUGCAAUCAACAAUAAACAACACCUAACAAGCUUAAUUUUAGUUGCAAUCACCUCACUCCUUGCCUCUUCAUAUGAGAGAGUUUCUCCAACUACACCUAAUCCUAUUGCACAUCUUGUUAAAAUUUCAACUGGAAUUUCAGAAUCUUCAGGAAACACAGAGCACAAUAGGAAAAGUGAUUUGGCUUCUUUAGUAUCCAAAUUAUCAUAGCUCAACUGCAAGCACUUGUAGGGAUCAAUCAAACCUCUUUCAAUAUUUAUUGGCUCUGAAUGUUUCAAUUUAUUCAAUGCAACACUCCAUUCCAUCUCAUCUUUUCCCUUCAAACUACAAGCAACAGCUGCAAUCGCAACCGGCAAUCCUUUACAUUCAUUGCAAACUAAUCUUCCCAGAUCCUUUAAGGUAUCAGAGGUGGCUUCUGAUAUAAGUGCUUUAUUUUGGAAAAGAGUCCAUGCUUCUUCAUCCGUUAAAAUUGGCAAGUAAAUUUUUCUUUGACAAUCCAUUGAGGUACAAACUGCUUCUGAUCUACUGGUAAUGAGAAUCU